RNAcentral lists this long non-coding RNA (63650 nucleotides) under Malus domestica (apple). Its description in RNAcentral is "long non-coding RNA (MDOM_LNC016930)". The record is from RNAcentral. Lineage: Eukaryota; Viridiplantae; Streptophyta; Magnoliopsida; Rosales; Rosaceae.
UCGUAGCCAACAAAUGUUUGCAUCAAUGAAAAGAUACAUCCAUUGUAAGCAAUCCAACAAGUUGUUAAAUCGGAUCAAAAUUCAAGUUUUCCAAUAGUAGUAUGCUAGUACGACAAACUUUAGUAAUGUUUUCCAAUGUGUUGCAAUAAAGCAUACGAUAAUAAUAACAAAUCAACAAGCCACCAAAAUUCAGGGUUUCUCCCAUCUAUCUCAUAAUCUCAUUAACGUAGUAUAUGUACUUGCAUCCAUAUGUACACAACAGAAUUUGUCAGGAUAAUGCAAUCAUCAGUCAUUCUCCAGCAAUAUCUCUAUGAUGCAGGCAUUUCAAGCAAGUUACUUUAAGUAACUGAUAAUCAAAAUUCAUUUCACAAUCCACAUAUAACUGACCUAAUCCCAACAUCCUGUGAACCAAAACUACAAGGAACGACCUUUUCUUUCUGCACAUGAUCAGCACCAACUCCUUCAUUCAGUACACCCAGCUCCUUCUUUUCCGGAGUUCCGAAUCUCAAUAACCAAACCAGUCAACAUCGUCUUCAAAAGUUCCCAGUUUUUCUCCACCAACACCAUUUGCCCCAUCCACAACCAACUUGUCAUCCACAUCACUGGGAUGAGUUCCACUAGUAAUCAAAUCUACCAAGCACCUAACCAGCCACACAAAACACUUAAUGAAGGCAUUCAAACAACAAUGAAUUUUUUUAAAGAUCAAACUAACUCAUUACACAAAACUCUAGCUCCAACUAACCUAAAUGAGCUUGAAAGCUGCUUGAAGUAAUCGUUGUCUGAUACUUUCAAACCCUUAUUUCUAGCACGAACCAUCCAGUGUAGUUGUGGAGUAGUUAAAAUUCCCAAGUCAUGGGCAACCGCUCCAAUAAUUGAACUGAUUCCCUUUAAAGGAACAAAUGCUAAGAAAUGAGGAGCGUAAAACGAUUUAGAAACUGCAUGGUAAGCAAUGGUAAAAGAGAAGAUACCUGUUUAGCAGCCUCAACCAGAGAUUCUCCACUGGAUCUUGUAUCUCUUGCCAACAAUAUCUCCACGGAUUUUGCUCCAUCGACUGCGAUUUUUUCAUUUUCAACAAAUUCAGCUAUCAACUGUUCAAGAGUUCAAUCAGCCUUGUACACAAAUUCACAAGAAGAAAAGAAAGGAGUGAGCACGCGCACACACACAGAAAGGCUAUAUAGAAAAAGAAAAACAGACAUGAACAAGCUGUUGGGGAUCACGAGCAUUGGUGAGGGUAUCAGCGAAUGGCUCCCAGUCUUGAGAAAGCAUUCCACCACUCGGGUCAGCAACUUUGACUCCAUUAUCAGAGACUUUGUUGUGAGAUGCUGUGAUCAUCAGGCCGAUCACUGAUUGGAUCUUGAGGGCCCUUGGAGCAGCCAAAAUUCCCACCCUGUAAAGUGUGGAUUGGAGGAUUGAGGCAUCAGCUCUGAAGCCAGCCGUUCCAUACGAUAGUUUCACACCUGGUGUCAACUUCUCAAAAUUAACAAACCAGAAACCGAAUUCCGUUGAGAGGAAAGGGAAAAUGCGAGAGGGAGAGAAAUGUGGACCUUGUGGAGGCGGGAAGCGAGAUGAGGAGCUGAGGAGGAGUGAACGUUGGUCUUUAUUCAUGGUUUGUUAAUCCCGAUUGAAACUAACAUCAAAGAGUUUGAGUUUCAGGCAUAUAACUAGCAAUAGUGCCCGCGCGUUUGCUGCGGGUCUUAAAACUACUGGACAUAAAAGAAGAAAACAGCCAGUGCAAACUUGUAAUGGAUAGUUUGUAAUUAAUAGGUUUUUAGUAUGUUCAUGCUAUUUAAACACAGAAAAUAUAAUAAGAAAAAGAAGUUGAGUGUUGGCAAAAAGUGAUGUAAUUUGUGGCAUACCUGUAGUUAGACCUGUGUAAUCGAUUUAGUUGUGAACACUGGUAACAUGUAUAACUCAGAGAACAAAAAAUAGCAGAAACUGAAUAAGAAAAUGAUGUGCAUAGAGAAUAUACUGCAGUAACUAUAAAUUAAGGUUAGAAGUGUUUUAAUUUUGAUAUAAAUUUGUGGUCAAGAAUUAUGCAUAAGAGGAUAACUGCUUUUAUGAGUGAGCAUAUAAUAAGUCAAAACGAUUAUUAAUAAUUAACGAAAUGUUUGAAGUAAAAAAAAAUAUACAUUUGAUGUUGAAAUUCGAUAUCAUAAUGUAACUGUAACUUAUUAGAAGGGUUUAAAUUGGCAUUAACUGGUCUGUAACAGUUUGUCCAAUUAUAUUGAAUAUCAUUAGACCAUGUUGUGAUACGAUGUUACUGGAAAACGAAGAAAAAAUUAUAUAAGCUAUUAGAAACAAUAUACAAUUGUAAAUGUAAAGUUGUGUAAUUUGAUUCUUAAUAAGCAUGCAUAUAUACCGUUUGGAUAUGAAGAAUUAAAAAGCAUAUAGAGCUGUGCACUUAGUUGAGGUAAGAGUUUAGAUGAUGGGAAUCCAUGCUGAUAAUUUGUUGAGGAAAACAAAACUUUAGUUUGAUGUUCAAGCAGAUGGGAACAGACAGAAAGAACAAAAGGUAAAAUACAUAAUAAAAAGAAGAUGAUGUCCAAAGAUUGGAAAAGCAGGUUAAGAAGUAAAUUUAUGUUUAUACCGACUAAAAUGAUUGUCAAAUUUGCAGCAAGCUAUCUUUGAAUGAAUAAAAAAUAGGGUAAAAAUUGUAGGCAAAUUUGAUCAGGUGAACUGGAGAAAAUUGAAAACCAGGAUUAAAAAUGCAUCACAAAUGAGAAUAUGGUGUAAAAUGAUAUGUAAGCCAGUUUUGUACUGAUUCUAAUGUAAAUAUGGGAAAACAGAUGUUCAAAGAUGGAUCCGAUAGAGCUGAUUAGGUGUCUCUGUGUAACACAGAGAUACUAUUUGCUCAGUUAUUUCAGCUUUGAUCAUUUGGAUAAAUAAUCAUCACUUCCAUAUUUUCCCUUCGGUGGGAUGAUCUUUUUGUUUUACAAUGUUAUCUAGGAAGAAACUCAUUGGAUCAUGCAAUAACAAAUAGAAAAACUAUUUAAAAGAAUACAAACAACAACAACAAAGCUUUUUUCCCACAAAGUGGGGUCGGCUAUAUGAAUCCUAGAACGCCAUUGCGCUUGGUUUUGUGUCAUGUCCUCCGUUAGAUCCAAGUACUCUAAGUCUUUUCUUAGGGUCUCUUCCAAAGUUUUCCUAGGUCUUCCUCUACCCCUUCGGCCCUGAACCUCUAUCCCGUAGUCACAUCUUCGAACCGGAGCGUCAGUAGGCCUUCUUUGCACAUGUCCAAACCCAUUUUGUGUACGUGUUGAUGCUUCACCGCCCAACCUUCUGUGCCAUACAGCAUCGCCGGCCUUAUUGCCGUCCUAUAAAAUUUUCCCUUGAGCUUUAGUGGCCUACUACGGUCACACAACACGCCGGAUGCACUCUUCCACUUCAUCUAUCCAGCUUGUAUUCUAUGGUUGAGAUCUCCAUCUAAUUCUCCGUUCUUUUGCAAGAUAGAUCCUAAGUAGCGAAAAUGGUCGCUCUUUGGUAUUUCCUGAUCUCCGAUCCUCACCCCUAAUUCAUUUUGGCCUCCAUUUGCACUGAACUUGCACUCCAUAUAUUCUGUCUUUGAUCGGCUUAGGCGAAGACCUUUAGAUUCCAACAUUUCUCUCCAAAGGUUAAGCUUCGCAUUUACCCCUCCUGAGUUUCAUCUAUCAACACUAUAUCGUUUGCGAAAAGCAUACACCAAGGAAUAUCAUCUUGAAUAUGUCCUGUUAACUCAUCCAUUACCAACGCAAAAAGGUAAGGACUUAAGGAUUGUUGAUGCACAAAAUCAGUGAGGACUUUGGUACAACAGAAAGUAUUAAGUUUGUGAUCUUUGCUAGAUUGCUCUGGUCAUUAGUGUGGAUAAGUAUGUAAAUGGAUAGAGACAUGAAAGCAAACACAAGAUGUACAUGGUUCACCCAGAUUGGCUACAUCCACGGAGUAGAGGAGUUCUCAUUAAUUGUGAAGGGUUUACACAAGUAUAUAGGUUCAAGCUCUCAUUUAGUGAGUACAAGUGAAUGAUUUAGUACAAAUGACAUAGGUUCAAGCUCUCGUCUUCACUUGCCUUAUCUGUCUCAUAGGUAGAUGUGGCAUCUUCUCUGGAAGUACUCUUCCUCCAUCCAAGGGUGGUAUCUUUAACUGGUGGAGAUGCACAAGGUAAUGUAUCAAUUUCACAUGAAGCUUACUUGUAGUUUCAGGCUUGGUCAAGCGCGAUACAAACCAUGUAGUAGGAGUCCCCCAAGUCGCUGAGCUAGGGGAUCUGCUGAAAGAGGCGACAGACAAGGUAAGCAAUCAGAGCUCCAAGAAAUCAGUCCCAGAUCAGAAGUUUGAUUUCGAGUUUCGGCUGAUUGUUCUCAUUCUCCUUAUCUUGCAGGCAGCAUGAAGGAUAAAGAGAAGAAAGAUGAUAUGAGAUACUUUUGCUUUUGAAGAAGUAACUUUCCACAGGCUUAUUCUUGAACUGGGCUGGAGGAUUUUCUGGUUUCCUCCAGAGUAUAAGGCCGACUGAAGAAUUUGAGGGUUAAAACAAGUCCAUCAAAUCUAGAGUACGUUUGACUCUGCUGAUAUGGGAUACUUUUGCUGUUGACAAAGUAGUGGAUGUAUCGGCACGUGUUCUGUUACGCUUGUCUCCACAUGUUUUCUUGUAUCCUUCUCAUUUUCCCUAUCUGUUCCUUAGGCAGAUGUUGUAUCUUCUCUGGAAGCAUAAGAUGUUGAAGAUGAGUACUCGAGAGCAAUGCCAGGUAAGUAAUCAGGUAAGGGGUUCCAGGCAGUCAGUUCCUGACUAGAAGCUUGAUUUCAAGUGCUGACUGAUUACUCUCUUUCUCCUUGUCUUGCAGGUAAGAACAAGGCCAAAGGAAAAGACAGGGAAAAAGCAUGAUAUGGGAUACUUUUGCAUUUAACCCUGAUGAUAUGAGAUAUUCUUGCUCUGGUGUAGCUUGUUUGCAGAGAGAUUAUCGGGGGGAAAGAAAGCUGAGUAUUUCGAGAGGCUUCGUUGGGAGUGCCCUCUCAGAUAUGAGGAAGGGUUGAGCAUUUUUGCAGGUCUGCCUGUCCGUUGAGGAUGGAGGUCGACAUAUAUAGGAGUUUCCCUAUCAACAAGUAGUAAUGCUAUUCCUUUACCCUGCUUGGUCAUAGCACGGUAGUGGGAGCUGCCAGCUUCACAUGUGUCAGAGCACUUUGAAAAAGUGGUCUGUGGUAUCUGGAAAGCUGAUGUUGCGUGUGAAGAUUACAGACAAACUUUAUCCAAGGAGAUCUGACUCUCGAAGUUGAGAAAGCGGUGCCUCUUUGGUUUUCGAACAAGCAAUCCUGUCGGGGAUUUGGCUCUCGAGAUUCGGAGAACGGUGCCUCUUCAAUUUUUUAGAGAGCAAUCAUGCUGGGAGUCUGGCUCUCGAGAUUCGGAUAGCCAUGUCUCUUCGAUUUUUGAGAAAGUAAUCAUGUUAGGAGUCUGGCUCUUGAGAUUCGGAGGACGGUGCCUCUUCGAUUUUGGAGUAAGCAAUCUUGUUGGGAGUGUUUUCUCGAAUGUGAGUAAAGGUUGGGCAUGUUUGCUAGUCUACCUUGCCACGGAGCAUAGAGGUUGACACAUAGGGACUUUCCAAUUAUCCAGCAGUGGUGCUGUUUCUUUACCCUUGUGGGUAAUAAUAUGGUAGCUAGACCUUCAAAAUUUAUGUGUCUAAACUUUGUUAGUGCUGUUUCUUUGCUAUUCUUUUACCCUUCUUGGUCAUAGCGAUGUAGUGGGAGCUGCAAGCUUCACGUGUCUAAACUUUGUCAGAGAUCUUUGGCAAAGUUAUCUGUGGUACCCAUGAGCUGAUGGUGCGUGUGGAAAGUGGAUGAUUGAACAGUAAGAUUCACGUGCUUUCUACUUCACCAGAAAUCUUCAAUAGAAUGCCCGUAAUUUCAGCAAAGCUGAGUGUGCAUGUGACAGGUGCUGACAAGGCUGAGAAAAGCAGGUGCCUCUUCGAUUUCUAAGAUCGGCCCUCGUGGUCUCUGAGCAGCCUAGCUUUUGAGAAAGCAAACACCUCUUCGAUUUCUGAGAUCGGCCUUCAUGGUCUUUGAGCAGCCUAGCUUUUGAGAAAGCAAACACCUAUUCGAUUUUUGAGAUCGGCCCUCAUGGUCUUUGAGCAGCCCAGCUUUUGAGAAAGCAAACGCCUCUUCGAUUUCUGGGCAGGUGCCUCUUCGAUUUCUGAAGCUCCGUCGAGUGCAGAUUUUUAUAGAGGUUGGCAUUAAGUUCCAAAGCACACUUGAAUCUUCACCGGUAGAAGCUUCCUUCUUGCACUUCUAAGAUCUUGAUUUGUCCGACCUUUUCUCUCUUCAACACCUUUGAAAAUGUCUGGCCCCUCCGACCGUCGUUUUGACUUGAACCUUGUUGAAAAGGCAGCCAUGCCUUCUUCAGACAACAUAUGGCACCCAUCCUUCUUAUCCCCUACUGGUCCUCUUACCGUUGGGGAUUCCGUGAUGAAGAAUGAUAUGACUGCUGCGGUGGUGGCCAGGAACCUUCUCACUCCCAAAGAUAACAGACUACUUUCCAAACGGUCUAAUGAGUUGGCUGUUAAGGAUUCUCUGGCUCUAAGUGUUCUGUGUGCAGGUUCUGUGUCUAAUAUGGCCCAACGCCUAUUUGCUCGAACCCGCCAAGUUGAAUCAUUGGCGGCUGAAGUGAUGAGUCUCAAACAGGAGAUUAGAGGGCUCAAGCAUGAGAAUAAACAGUUGCACCGGCUCGCACAUGACUAUGCUACAAACAUGAAGAGAAAGCUUGACCAGAUGAAGGAAUCUGAUGGUCAGGUUUUACUUGAUCAUCAGCGGUUUGUGGGUUUGUUCCAAAGGCAUUUAUUGCCUUCGUCUUCUGGGGCUGUACCGCGUAAUGAAGCUCCAAAUGAUCAACCUCUGAUGCCUCCUCCUUCUAGGGUUCUGUCCAGUACUGAGGCUCCGAAUGAUCCCCCUCCGGUGCCUUCUCUUUCUGGGGCUCUACCGACUACUGAGACUUCUCCUAAGCAACCUUUGUGAAGGCUCCCUCUUGUUUGUUUAUUUUGACUCAUGUAUAUGUACAUAUUUGUACCUUAUCGGAGAUAUCAAUAAAUAAGCUUUGCUUCAUUUCAACGUAUUGUGUUAAAUACACCAAAGCCUUCUUCAUUGAGUGGGGUCGGCUAUAUGAAUCUUAGAACGCCAUUGUGCUCGGUCCUGUGUCAUGUCCUCCGUUAGAUCCAAAUACUCUAAGUCUUUUCUUAGAGUCUCUUCCAAAGUUUUCCUAGGUCUUCCUCUACCCCUUCGGCCCUGAACCUCUGUCCCGUAGUCGCAUCUUCUAACCGGAGCGUCAGUAGGCCUUCUUUGCACAUGUCAAAACCAUCGUAACCGAUUUUCUCUCAAUUUUCCUACAAUUUCGGCUACUCCUACUUUACCUCGGAUAUCCUCAUUCCUAAUCUUAUCCUUUCUCGUGUGCCCACACAUCCAACGAAGCAUCCUCAUCUCCGCUACACCCGUUUUGUGUACGUGUUAAUGCUUCACCGCCCAACAUUCUGUGCCAUACAGCAUCGCCGGCCUUAUUGCCGUCCUAUAAAAUUUUCCCUUGAGCUUCAGUGGCAUACGACGGUCACACAACAUGCCGGAUGCAUUCUUCCACUUCAUCCAUCCAGCUUGUAUUCUAUGGUUGAGAUCUCCAUCUAAUUCUCUGUUCUUUUGCAAGAUAGAUCCUAAGUAGCGAAAACGAUCGCUCUUUGGUAUUUCCUGAUCUCCGUCCUCACCCCUAACUCAUUUUGGCCUCCAUUUGCACUGAACUUGCACUUCAUAUAUUCUGUCUUUGAUCGGCUUAGGCGAAGAUCUUUAGAUUCCAACAUUUCUCUCCAAAGGUUAAGCUUCGCAUUUACCCCUUCCUGAGUUUCAUCUAUCAACACUAUAUCGUUUGCGAAAAGCAUACACCAAGGAAUAUCAUCUUGAAUAUGUCAUGUUAACUCAUUCAUUACCAACGCAAAAAGGUAAGGACUUAAGGAUGAGCCUUGAUGUAAUCCUACAGUUAUGGGGAAGCUUUCGGUUUGUCCUUCAUGAGUUCUUACGGCAGUCUUUGCUCCUUCAUACAUAUCCUUUAUAGCUUGGAUAUAUGCUACUUGUACUCCUUUCUUCUCUAAAAUCCUCCAAAGAAUGUCUCUUGGGACCCUAUCAUACGCUUUUUCAAAUCUAUAAAGACCAUGUGUAAAUCCUUUUUCCCAUCUCUAUAUCUUUCCAUCAAUCUUCGUGAGAGAUAGAUUGCCUCCAUGGUUGAGCGCCCUGGCAUGAACCCGAAUUGGUUGUCCGAAACCCGUGUCUCUUGCCUCAAUCUAUGCUCAAUGACUCUCUCCCAGAGCUUCAUUGUAUGACUCAUUAGCUUAAUACCCCUAUAGUUCAUGCAAUUUUAUACGUCGCCCUUAUUCUUGUAGAUAGGCACCAAAGUGCUCUUUCGCCACUCAUUUGGCAUCUUCUUCGUUUUCAAAAUCCUAUUGAAAAGGUCAAUGAGCCAUGCUAUACCUGUCUCUCCCAAGACUUUCCACACUUCGAUCGGUAUAUCGUCUGGGCCCACUGCUUUUCUAUGUUUCAUCUUCUUCAAAGCUACAACCACUUCUUCCUUCCUGAUUCGACGAUAAAAUGAGUAGUUUCUACACUCUUCUGAGUUACUCAACUCCCCUAAAGAAGUACUCAUUUCAUGUCCUUCAUUGAAAAGAUUAUGAAAAUAACCUUUCUAUCUGUCUUUAGCCGCAUUCUCUGUAGCAAGAACCUUUCCAUCCUCAUCCUUGAUGCACCUCACUUGGUUUAGGUCCCUUAUCUUCUUUUCCCUUGCUCUAGCUAGUUUAUAGAUAUCCAACUCUCCUUCUUUGGUAUCUAGUCUCUUAUACAUGUCGUUAUAAGCCGCAAACUUAGCUUCUCUCACAGCUUUCUUCGCCUCUUGCUUCGCUCUUCUAUACAUUUCACCAUUUUCAUCGGUCCUGUCCUUGUAUAAGGCUUUACAACAUUCCUUCUUAGCCUUCACCUUUGUUUGUACCUCCUCAUUCCACCACCAAGAUUCCUUUUGGUGUGGAGCAGAGCCCUUGGACUCUCCUAAUACCUCUUUUGCUACUUUUCGGAUACAACUAGCCAUGGAAUCCCACCUUUGGCUAGCUUCCCCCUCUCUAUCCCACACACACUGGGUGAUUACUUUCUCUUUGAAAAUGUCUUGUUUUUCUCCUUUUAGAUUCCACCAUCUAGUCCUUAGGCACUUCUAAGUGUUGUUCUUUUUUCUCACUCUUUUGAUAUGUACAUCCAUCACUAACAAGCGAUGUUGAUUAGCCAAGCUCUCUCCCAGUAUAACUUUGCAAUCCUUACAAGUUAUACGAUCCCCUUUCCUCAUUAGAAGAAAAUCUAUUUGUGUUUUUGACGACCCACUCUUGUAGGUGAUCACAUGUUCUUCUCUCUUCUUAAAGAAGGUGUUGGCUAAGAAGAGAUCAUAUGCCAUUGCAAAAUCCAAGAUAGCUUCCCCAUCCUCGUUUCUCUCCCCAAAACCAUGGCCACCAUGAAAACCUCCAUAGUUGCAUGUCUCCCUGCCCACGUGUCCAUUUAAAUCUCCUCCUAUAAAUAACUUCUCCGUCUGGGCAAUUCCUUGCACCAAGUCUCCAAGGCCUUCCCAAAAUUUCUCCUUCGAACUCGUAUCCAACCCUACUUGAGGUGCGUACACACUAAUCACAUUGAUGAGUUCUUGUCCUAUUACAAUCUUGAUUGCCAUGAUUCUAUCUCCUACCCUCUUGACAUCUACAACAUCUUGUGUCAAGGUCUUGUCCACGAUGAUGCCAACACCGUUUCUCGUUCUAUUUGUGCCCGAAUACCAAAGUUUAAACCCUGAGUUUUCUAGAUCCUUUACCUUAAGACCAACCCACUUAGUUUCUUGUAGGCACAUAAUAUUUAUCCUUCUCCUCACCAUAACUUCCACUACUUCCAUAGAUUUUCCCGUUAAGGUUCUUAUAUUCCACGUUCCUAAACGCAUUCUACUCUCUUGAACUUUACCCUUCUGUCCUAGCUUCUUCACCCUCCCCCGUCCAAUAGGAUCAAAGUACUUCUUUUGUGUGUCCUGUGUAAAGUUGAUAGGAGCAUAUGCUCCCAAACAACUUUUAGUGGAGUCGUUCGAAAAGAAGUUUCUAUGGCCCCCUUGCUCAUUUAACACUGAAUCCGGGUGCCGAUGGAGAUACAGCGACCCUUGCUCACUUAUCACUGUGCUCGGGCCACACAGCGCGCCACUUACGGGUGACGCCCUAGCUUUAGCGCGAUUUGGUUUUGGAUUCAUUUUCAUAAGGAUUCGACGUAACUGAUGAGUGCCGGCUGUCGACUACCUGACGUCCUCCCCCUCCUCCUUUACCCGGGCUUGGGACCGGCAAUGUAAGAUAAACUUACACAGGCGGAGUUAAAAACUAUUUAAAAGAAUAACAAAGAUAAUUUUUGUAGUACAUGGAAAAUAUAAACUUGUUUGAAUAAAAAGCCUAAGAUGAAAGGGUCAUAUUACGUACUUGAAGUACAAAUGGUUUUAAAGGCUGUACAUUGAAGCUGCAAAAAACAAAGAGCAUCACAUGCUGAAAACAAAAAGAAAACCAAAUUGUAAGCGUAGACAGAGCAGGCAAAACAUAAAAGAAACCAAAAUUUGAAAAAUUGUUCCAUCCGGACACCAAAUGUUUCAAAAGGUUAUCAAAACGGAACAAAAUUGGUUAAUUUGUUAUGUAAGCAAAGCAAAGAAAGGAGUUGGAUUGAAGUUGAUUUAAGGCUUUUUCUGACUUGGCCAACCUAUGUGGCUAGGGCUUCAAACACUAAAACCCCGUACAAUGCACAUAAAAGUAACCACUGCCGGGUAAGCAAACAUGAGUUACUUUCAUCAAAAAUUAAAACUAAAAACAUAAACUUCAAACAGGCAAAAUCUGACAACCAGCAUAUCAAUCCAAAAUAAAAACUUCCACCACCAACAGCAUAAACAAAUUUAAAACCACAAUUAAAACUAAUGUUGACUGUCCUCCUCUCCAUGUUUGUGUUCCCUCUAUAGGAUAAAAGCGACGAAGACAAAGCUUUCCAAAAUUCUAAUAACUCUACAUAUUAUCAAUUUCCCAACAAAACACAUAGGUUCUAGCACUAACAGCAUAAAAAGUUUUAAAAUUCUUCCUCUCCCUGUUCUUAAGACAGAAAGACAAAGCUUUCCAAAAUUCCAACAAAUCCUCUCAUUUCUUCCCAAAAAUUAUAAAUCCAUUUUCAUCCUACAAUUAUUAAUGCAUUUCGAAACUGUAAAAAAGCAGGACAUAAAACUUACCCAGAAUAUAAGAGCAGCGUCACAGGUGCUAGCAAAUGUCAGAUUUAUUAACAGAGCAACCAAAAUGCAAAAUGCUCUUUUAGCCGGGAAAGGCCUAACAGAGCACCACAACUGAAAGAACAAUGAAAUCGUUAGGUUUUUUUUUUUUCCAAAUAAGCAAAAAUCCAAAAUAAAAAUUGAAAGACAACCAUUAUAAAAUACACCUUAGCUGAAUAACAUCUGUUCCGCAGCGAUCUGAUGACGGGCCGCGACCAAAACAGGUUGGAAAUUGGCCAAAGUUCAGCCACAACCCAAAAAUCUCAGGCAGAAAAAAAAAGAAUAACACUCUGAAUUAUUGCCCGAUCGCAACUUUGGAAACCUUGGAAACCACUUUUUUGUGGGGAAGAAGACUCUCGAAGUCAAGAGAAUAAGGAUGGCGGACACGCAGACAACACGGGUAAAAACGUCAUUUCAACGUACGAAGCAGGCCAGACAAAGGAAAACAAAUGAUUGACCUAGGGGCAGUUCCGCCUUUCACUAUUUAUGAACAGUGCCGGUUUCAACUAAGUUUUAGUAUAUAUAAUGUAUACAUUCACAUACAGUUAAAUAUACAUACAUACAUACAUACAUAUAGAUAUAUAUAAAAUCUCGUUACUGAAACCUGCAACCAUUCUUUCUAAUAAAAUAAUCAACAGAUGAAAUUUUGUUCUUUCUAAUAAAAUAAUCAACAGAUGAAAUUUUGUCCAAUCAACCAAAAUUUACCCAAAGAUAAUAACUAUCCAGAUAGAACAAAACCCAAUUAAUUAAUUUUCACAAAUUACUGAAUCCAUAUCAGUUUACAAGAAUGAUUUCAGGCAAUACUAAGGGCUGGUUUGGUAUUGCUGUACUUUGAAAAAAAAACUGCUGUGAGAAUAAGCGGUUGUGCUGUGAGAAUAAGCGACUGUGAAAUAAAUCAGCGGAGUGUUUGGUAAACUUUUUUGUAAAACUGCUUUUGGAAAAAAAAAACAAUCUGAUAGUGGGUAUUUUCAUUAAAGGAGCACUGUAACUCCGUGUACUUUGAAAAAAAAAACCAGUUUUCCAAAGCUGCAAAUAGUAGCUUCAACUUUUUCCUUUGAUUUCAGCUUAUUCUCACAGCAACUUCCAAAAUAAGCCUUUUUUUUUAGUUUACCAAACACCUAAAACCCUCACAGUUUUUUUUUAUGGAUGUUUUUUUUUUUUUUUUUUUUAAGCAUCUCACUCCCAAACCACCAUUAAUAUGCAGAGAGAUGCACAAAAUCGGAUUGCAAUCAAACACUUACCGCACCUGCAGUAUCAAUGAACUCCCUCAUUUUGCUCCAGUUGAGACUUGAGACUUCUCAGAGCGUUUAAAUAGCCAAUGGCAUUUCCGUAAUUUCGUGGAUUUUCAAGCCCAAUAAUAUUCCCUUUGUUCUUAAAAAUCCUACCUGCGCGGAGUGUGGAUGGAUAUGCCGCCAAUGUUCCCAAGCAAAGCAUCAAAAACUCCAAGCAGCGACAAAGUCCAAGGGGGAGCGAUGGGUCUGCUCUCGUGGUGGAAAGGGAAUGAGUCUACACCCCUAACCAAGACCAGCCCGGAUCCGAAACCGGCCGAACCUGCUCCCGGCAUGAACGGCGCCGUUGAGGUGCCUCGACCCCCCGCCGCCGCCAACAUCACCGUCUUCGAGUUCGGAUCAGUCGCGGCUUCAGCCGAUAAGGUCACUCUCGCCGGGUACUGUCCGGUCUCCGAAGACCUGGAGCCCUGCCGCUGGGAGAUCCUCCCCGCUAGUGGCUCCGACGCGCCCCAGUUUCGAGUGGUCUUCUAAGCACUCACCCCUGUGUCUGUGUGUGUGUGAGCAGUUAAUCAUUGUAUGUUCAGACUCAGUAGUGUAAUUUCCAGCUAUGAAUGAUAUGAUGAGAAUUUCAGUUGAGGUUUUGUCGUAGACAAUUUCAAGUUUUUGGCUUUGGAUUGUGUUCAUGGAUGGACAAUUUAGAGGGGGUGGUAUUCAAUUAGGAUUUUUAGAGAGUUUCAGGGAAUUUAAAUCUAUAGAAUUUGAGAGAGUUUGAGAGAAAAAAAAAAGGAAUUCUCAGAGAUUUUGAGUGAAUUUUACAUGAUUUAUGAGAUAAUUCUUUACAUGGGGUUAGAGAAUUGCAGAGAAUUUGAUCAACAAUUUUCUUCUCUUUACGAGCUAAAAUUUUCAUCCUACUAACACCGAAGGUGACGAAAGCUAUUAAUUAAUACAAAAGCUAAGAAUAAGAAGUAAAUAAGGGUUGUGAAUUUAAAUACAAUCAGUUAAAAAUUUAGAAACGUGUUCAGAGCAUACAACUAACUAAAACUUUAAAAGAAUUAAUAAAAAUUAAAUAAAUAAGAGGAUGCAGGUCCUAAAUCGAGAGGACUCAAAUAUGCCAAUGCGAAAGCGUUGACGUAGGGAUCGUAUGUCUCGAUUCUAAAUCCUGAAAGAAGGCGCAAAACAAGGGUGAGUGGACCAAGUUUAUAUACAUACAUAAUAUAAAAACAGGUAUAAACAUAUUAACCCCCAAAGUUUUAAUAAUAAAAAACUACUAGCAUAAUAAAUGAUAGGUUUCUCUGAAAACCCUAGCAUGCUAUCAACAUCUCAAAAGACACAUCGCGGAAAUCAAAGCAUCAAUAGUCUCACAGAUUGUCUCGUAAGCAAGGUGUGCUGCCAUUAAGAUCACUGAAUAAUAAUACUCCCGGCCCAAUGCCUGCACCUAAGUCUCUGUGCCAGUGAUAACUUCCUCCCGGCCCAAUGUCUGUCUCCAUGUCCCUCAACCUUUUGCUAGGGAUUAUUUCUCACAGCUUAACUGCCAACACCAAAUCCUCACCCCAGGCGGCAUAGUGUCCACUAGGUACGCACAAAUAGUUACGCCUCUCAUAAAUAACCACUUCAUAGUAUAAAAUCAUCCAUCGUCUAUACUAUAAAGAGGGGUUUCUAAAACAUGUUCUAGCAUCAUAUCGUCAUCCAUCAGAUAGUUUACCAGUUCAUGGUUUUAUAGAAAAUACGAUAUAUCAAACUAUAGCUCAAUAUAGGCCAACAAUUAAUUCUUCACUAAAAACAUGAGACGAAAAUCAACAAAUUCAAUAAACAUGCUUAACAUAAAAUCAAAUUAUAAACUCGUAAGACAUGCUAUUCAUUUAUGCAGUUGAACUAUAAAAUCAUGUAGUUUUAGAAGAGGUCUACUCACAGAUACUCUUUAGCAGUAGAGUUGUGCGGAUAAGGAUUAAGAAUUUCCUCACUAGCAACUUCACAUAAGCACAAAAAGGUAAUAAAUAAAUAAAAGGGUUUUCUAAAGGAUUUGGGUUGGAUGGUUAGAGCCUAAUGGGUUUAGGGUAAGGGUUUUGGGCUUAGAGUCACAACAUAAAUGGCCCAAGGGCCUCAUUUUAAAAAAAUUGUAACAAAAAUAAUUAAAAUAAAAAUUGGAAAGGGAAAGGGUUUGGGCUUGGAUCCGGAUUAGAGCUUAGGUCUUAAAGCCCAAAGGUUUAGGGUUUUGCUCCACAGGCCGAAGGCCCUAGUUUUCCCAAGGCCCGAAGGCCUGUUCUGAAAGGGUUUAGGAUUUCAGGGUUCUCUGGGCUCAGCCCAGACCCACACGGCCCUAAGGCUUGAUUUUGAGAAGGUUUUGGGGUUAAGCAAAAUGGGCUUAAGGCCCGUGGCCUUUUGAGAACGGCCUAAAGGCCUGGUGCUCACCAGAGAAGGACACCGGAGCUUCUACAGCUCCGACCGACAGCAAACACAUGACUUAGGCUCCUAAUUAGGAACCAAAACGUAGAGGAAGGUAAGAUGAGUAUUUCUAUACCUUGGGUUUGCCGUGAAAAGGCCGGAGGUGACCAGAAAUCCCCUUGACAGCCACGGGUUCAUCGGAGAUGGGUUUGGCACACUCAAGCCGAUUUCCUUUAAAAACCUUGUAAAAUGACGAGUUAAAGCUUAAUAUAUCUCAACCACGCAACAACCAAGACAAAUUUAAGGUAAUACAAAGCUUACCUAAUCAGAAAAUCAAGGGAACUCGCCAGAGAGUUCCUGGGUUCCACAGUCCCAGCUGCGCCUAGAGAGAAAGGGAGAGAAAGGCGAGGUUGAUGGUAAUGAUGCCUUCUUCGCAAGUGAUGCAGCUGUGAGUGUGUGUUCAUGGGAAAGAAAAGGAGAGAGACGAAAGGGUUUAGAGAGAGAGAGAGAUAGAAGUACAGAGAAAGAGAGAGAAGGAAAGAGGGGUCACGGGGUGGGGGACCGAAGAGAGAAAAUGGAGGUUAGUUAGGGUGCUGCCACAUGGCAGUUUAAGGGAGUUUGAGAAUCAAGAUAGAGGGUCCAGAUUUGGUUAAGAAAAGGGACUAAAAUGAUAAAUUAAAUAAAACUUUGGAAAAUUAUAAAAUUACAUAUAAAUUCGCGGGUGGGGUUUAACAGUUUUCAACUAGCUAUAAGAGUUAAUAAUAGCUAAGAAUAUGUUUAUGAAACGAGUUUAAUCAAGACAUGGUUAAGAUAAGUACUAAUUACUAACCUUAAAAUAAGGGUAAAAUCUUGUACUUUCUUUUAUUUUAGUUGGCACCAUGGAUCUAGGUUGGACCAUCAAAUCUGGUGCAAUUGUGUUCAAGGCCUUCAAAACGUUGUUGAAAUUUUUGCUUGUUGUAAAAUGUGACCACCGAAAUGUGUCCAGAGUUUGGCAAUAUCGAGAAUUUUGACCAAUAAUGAGUAGAAAUGUAGCAACCAUUUCUUCAAUACAAAUAAAUCUUGUACCCUUCAAAUGCGUCUUUUCCGUAAAGACGUCACAUAGCUUUAAGAAAACAUUCGGAUACAUCCUAUAUAGCACUUGAAAUUCUUGAGGAUCCUUAUUCAAUACCUUGUUAAUAUAAUCAUAUCCAAUUCUACUAAUAGGUCGUCGAGCCAAUGGACGUUCAAUAUGAUCAUCAUGUAUAAUAACCAUUAACGCAUUUAGCACUUGAACUAUUGCUUGUACUGCCAUCAAUAGUAACUUAAUGGCUUCAUGAUAUUCUUCAUCUUCCCUUUCCAUUUCCUCUUCAGACAUGUUUUCAAACAUUAUAUAAAGAAUCACCUAAAAAAGCAAAACUAUAUCCAUUAGAACAUAAGACCAACUCCAAUGGUUGGGCUAAAAGCCAAAUUUUUUAGCCCAUAAAAAACAUUUCUAGCUCCAACCAUUUGGAUUAAAAUUUAGCGGGAACUUUAAUGAAAAAGCUUAAACUAAGUUUAUUUUAACAAAAAACUAUGCUAUAAACUUUAUUUAAUGAAAAAGAAUUAAAUUUUAAUAAAAAGGACAAAAAAAUUUAAUUUUUAAUGAAAAGAACACAAUUUAUAAUAAUAAUAAAUAAAAAAACAGGACGCGAGUAGUACCUCUACACUGUUUAUGAAACUGAGCACUAUUUAUGAAACUGCACUAUUUAUGAAACUUACUACACUAUUUAUGAAACUUACUACACUAUUUAUGAAAACUUACAACAUUGUUUAUGAAACUUACUACAUUGUUUAUGAAACUUAACUUAUUACACUGUUUAAGAGGCACCGUCGUCGCAUCCAUCUGGGUUUUUUUCUUCUCAACUUGUACUCUACUUGGAUCAACAUGGUUAGUAUCGAUCUCCAGGUAAAAAUAUGAGCCGGUUUGAGGUCCAUAUGAGAUAGGCAUAGCUAAUCCAAAUAGUAAAAAUUCAGUUUGAUAACUCCACUCUUUCAACAGGUAAAAAUAUGAAGUGCAGAUGUAUGGGUAUAGAAGUUUACUUGCUUUUAAAGAAUUUAAACUCUGCAAGCAGAAAGUGUAGCAAGCAGCAAAAUAUAACAUCUAGGAAUGAUGACGAGAGAAAGAGAAAAAUUGGACUACUAGGAUAAAACAACAAAAGAACAGAUAAGAACAUAGAGAAAAACCAAAAGGAAGAAAAAAUAUAAAAGAGUAUUUUCCCACGUUCAUCACCCUCGUAGAUUGACCCAUACAAAAAUUUGAAAUUAAGAAGUAAUUUCAUGAUAAUUGCUCUGCAAAUGUCAGUUCUGGCUCGUAAUUUGGGAACAGUUGCUGAAAAAACCCUAGAAAAAGAACUGAACUUUUCGAUUGAGCAUGAAAAUAUUUAUACUUUCUCGUGUGUUUUCUCGGCAAACAAACAAGUUGAUGUAAAAAUUAAAAUUUCUUGAGAGAGAGUACGGACUAACAAGUUGUAGGCAGAAUGCUUUCUAUGGAGGUUCUUCUCCGAAUCGAUUGCCAUGGCUUCCAUGGCGGGAAAAUAAGAAAGAGUCAGGGUUGUAAGUGGUGGAUCAUGUAUUGACAGAGGUGCAGGGCUUGCACGUGUUUUGUUAGGUAUUUUUUAAUUGUUUUUCUUUCUCUUGUCUUUAUCAUUAAAUAGAGUUAGUGGGUGGUUUUUGGUUAAAACUUAAAGUUUUGAAACCUUUUUCAUUAGUUUUCCUUUUAAUCCCGGAAUCAUUAAAGAAUGUAUUUAAGCUAUUUUUUUUUAUUAAAUUAAAUUUAAAAAAAAAAUAUGUAGACUAUCGUAAAUUAAUUUUAUGAACAUUUUAAUCUAAAAAUAUUUAAAUUCCGAUAAAUAUUGAAAAAUCACUAAAUUUUCCACAAAGCAAGCCUUCAACUUUCCACCAAUCUUUCAACCUUGGGCUAACUUUCAAUUCACCAACAGUUCAACACCAAAUUUUCAAUUCACCAACCGUUCAACACCAAACUUUCAACUUUCACCAAUUGUUCAACUUUCAUCAAUCAUCCUCUAUAUAAACAUAUGUCCAAUAUUAGUUGAUCACACAACCUUUCAACCUUCAAUCAUCCUCUAUAUUCACCAAUCUGUCAACUUUCAAAGAGUUUUUGUUUCCUAAAAAUCCUCAACAUCUCAUCAAUGGGUGAUAGAAGAAGGCGUAGCAUGACAAUGUAGAUGACACAAAACCAACCAAGGAAUAAUAAGUACAAUAAGGCAUCUAGAUUAAUAGAAACAAUAAUUAAUAAGACAUAAAUUGAAUAAAGUACAUAAACCACAUAAACUUAAUACAACCGAUAAUUCAUAAACCACAUAAUUAUUAAACUACAUAAACUUAAUACAACUGACAAUUAAUAAAGCAACAUCUUCGCUAACACAAACCCAUGCCAAACAUAAAGCAACAUAUUCCUCACAGGUCCAAUUACGACCUUUAAUAUGCUCUAUUGCCAUGUUGAACAAUUUGGAAAUGAAAAGAAAUGGUAGAAAGAUAAAUUGGAAGAAUUGUAGGAGAAAAUUGAGUUUUGUGUGAAUGUUUGAACAAAUACAUAGGUAUUUAUAGAGUUUUUGGGUGAAUUUUGAGUUAAAUAAUUUUUUAAAAUUAUUUUAGCCUUUGGAUUUAAAUUUGGGCCGUUAGAUAUUUUUUUUUUUACCGUUAGAUUUGAUUAUAUUCGAUCACAUCCGUUGAAUUCAAUAAUAUAUAAAUAUAAAAUAAAAAAAUUUGAAUCUAAGCCGUUGGAUUAACCAAUGGCCUGAUGAUCAUAGCCAUUCGAUCGAAAGAGCCGUUGGAGCUCUGGGGAACAAGGCUGACAGGCCCACGUGGGUGGGUCCCGGUAGGUCUGAAGGAGCGCGCGUUUGGCGAGUCCACAAGCUGGGUUUGGAGCCCAAACGCUGAAAACCACUCUCUUUGGUGGGGCACACUCCGAUUUUGGGCUAAAUUUGGGCGGUUUCUGGCCUUACUUCCCUUUUUAGCAUCUAGCCCACAUUUUCCCCUUGGGUUGGAAUGAGUGCAGGGGGAAUUUGGGGGGGGGGGGAAGUUAGUAUUUAGCCCACCAUUGGAGGUGGUCUAAUAGAGAGAAAGGUAAAGAAACAAACUACUUCUCAUGCAAAUAACUCAUUCUUCUGCAAGAUAUCAAAAGAUGAGUAGUGGGGAAAUAUCGAAGUACGAUACAUGAUUUUGCUUUCACAACACGAAUCAAGCAACCAACUAUUCAACAUCGUAGCUUUUAAUGGUCGAGCAUUCAUUUAGUAUAUAGUCUCUCUUCAUUUAUUAGCUAAGGAAAUACAGAACGAGAUAAUUAAAGCCAAUUCAAACUAGUACCACACCUUGCAAUAUCAAGUGCAAGUUUUACAUCUAUGAAAUAUACUCUUCGUACUAUUUCGAAAUACAGAAAAAUAAGAACUCAGGAAAUAACCAAAACUUAUACAAACCAUGGCAUUAAUAUUCCAUAUUAAGAAUACCAAUGGAAUGGGAAAAUACCUUGGGCAAAUAAACAAACUACUUCUUCUAUCAUUUAAACCAAAGUCAACUUAUUAUCAAACAAAUUAGAUACUCCAAGAUCAAAUUUGAAAUAACCAAACCAAAGCCAACAUGUUAUCAAACAAAAGUAAAUACUCCAAGAUGUAAACAAAUCUAAAAUAACCGCAUUCACUCGAUAUUGUAUUUUCCAUUCUGAGCGUUCUUCUGGUGUCAUUUUCAAGAACUCUUUUUUCAUUCCCAAUUUUUGAACCAACGCAACUACUUUGUAAUGACUAGGAGCAUCCAAGUUUGGAGUCUCUUUGAUAGCAUCCCGCACAAUGUUGAUUUUCUCCUCUUCUUUUUUCUCCAUUUCUUUUUUUUUUCUCUAUCUUUUUCUCUUUUCGCCAUCAUGCUAUGAAUUCCUUGAAUUUCAGUGGCAAUUGCAGCAAUCGCAUCCAUUUAAUUUGGUUCGGACUUAGGUUGAGAUCUUUUCCUUGGAAGUAGCUUUUCUAUGGUUGUAGCAGCGGGAGCCUCAAAAUUUGCAUCUAGGAAAGAUGAAGCAUAUGAUGGCGUUUGGAAUAAUGGAUCAAGUUGCUCGACGUUCUCAUCAAAGGGAGGAAAUUCGUCUACUCUGAUUGGCCUACUUUCUUCAACUCUAUAUGUUGUGGCAUCAGUAUCAUCGCCCAAUCCAAUCAAGUUAUUUCCUUUAGCUGUUCCAUCACCAAAAACAGUCAUCAAAUCUUCAUAGUCUGCAAAUAUCUCUUUGCGAAUACCUUGACUCUUUGGGUGAGACUAGAAAAAACAAAAACAUAAAUUGUUAAAUACCAAAUGUAUAAACAUGAAAGAUCAUCAUGUGUAAAUAAUAUAUUCUUUAAAGAAAAAAAAAUGACCCUAAGGAAGCCUUCCCAUACUUCAUCACUAGCUGUGAACUUCUUUGUGAUAGGGUCCCAACCAAAUCCAGAACUAUGUCCAAAAAGCUGGCAAAUUGAUUGAAAUCGACCCUUCAAUGUUUUCAUAUGGUUCUUAACAUGAUCUUUAGUUUUUUUACGCCCAAGUUUUUCAUUGAGCACAGGAACAAUUUUGGCUUCUAUGGUCUACUUACUUAUCAUGCCAUUAGCAUCACGCCAUCCAUUGUUUACCGCCUCAACAAGUAGUUGUAACAACAUGUUGUUCUCUUGCACGGACCACUGAUUAUAGUUUCCUUUUGUCUUUUCUUGUUGUGAAUCUCCCAUUUAUAAUCUUACUAGAUGAUGCAUUAUAAUAAAACAAUGAGACAUGAUAAUAAAAGCAGAACAUGAUAAUGGGGAUUACAAGCAUAAAUGACUAUAAAAAGGAUUGGAACAACAUAUUGAUAUAUUAUUAACGUAACAAGUAUAAUGUGACACACCCCGAGUAUAAUGUGACACACCCCGACCCGAAUUAAGGCAUGCUGGCAGUCACGUAAGGGUGACGUAGCCAUGUGCACAGUGCAGAAGCAAUAAAGAUAAUAGAGAAUACGAAUAAAUGAAAACCAACUCAUAAGAGAACUAGUUAAGACAAGUGCUAGAAUAUGUGUGAAUACACAAUCAGAGCAUGAGUAGCCUAAGUUCAUUCCAGAAAACAAGUACUAAUUAAACGACACCCAAAGAUCCCUACAUUUGUGAUAGUCUAUCUGAACCUCCAAUCAAUCCUCGUGAGCCACCCACAAACAAGCUUAUCUAAAACCUGGAAGGGUGCAAAACAGAAAGUGUGAAUGGGCAAAAACAAAGCUUUACAAAACCAUUUUAUUUAUCAAAUGCUCUAACCCCUCACCCUAAAACAUGUAUAACUUUCCCAAAAAUGGAAUAUAUAUAUAUAUAUAUAUAUAUAUUUCAAAUCAUGCUUCACAUAUCCAUAUUCAUAAGUAUGCCAUGCCAAAAUAUAAAACAGAAUAAGUAACUCAGGUGAAAAUAAAUUCAUGGAUAAAUAACAUAUUAGCCGGAACGCCUGCAGAGGUAUGUACGGCUGAAUUCAUAGCUCAUUAGUCAAUCUAGCCGGAGUCACUACAAGUGACCUAUACGACACUACAUUGCACAUGAGUCAGAACCACUGCAAAGGUCUAUACGACAAGACUGGGUGUAAUAUAGUUAUGCUCAAUGCUACGCUCUCAUGAUAGAUGUGCGAUAAAUCGCUAGUCACCUACAAGUCGAAACCACCUAUGAUGGUCUGUAUGACAAGACUGUGCACCUAAAUUGGAUCUAAUGUGAGCAUAUGGUGUGGGAUGUGACAUUAUAAAUAGGCAUGUACUAUAUCUUUGGCUAAAUCACAAUCACCCGAUGUGCUGAUUUAUGAGCUCUCAAUCACGCGUCACAUUAUCAAUAUCUCAUAUAACAAAACAAUACUCACCUGGUACUUACCUGAGCGUCUACAUUACCAAUUCAUAUUAUGCAUUAUAUACUAAUUCAUAUGCUGAUUAUAACUUUAUAUGCAUGGCAUUUCAAAGCAUACUUUUAUUUAAACGCAUUUUCUGGGAAAAUAUCAAGUAUAUAAAUUUAUACUGAAAACAAAAUUCCACUCACUGAUAUGUCAAAGGGUCGUAGCCCCGAGCCGCCCUUGACUGCGUUCGUCCUCCGGAUAGGUCUCACCUAUAUGUGAAAUAACUGAAUAAACGUUAUUUAAAGCACAUAGACAAAACUAGUUAAUAACUUCUCAUACAUUGCUCGAAUGAGAUGUUUGAAUAUACCAACGUGAUCUACACAACCUCAUGAACAUCCCCAUAUUUAUAGAAAAAAAUUCCGACAUCCCAUGCUCCUCCACGCGUAGGGAAUCCUAACGGAAUCCCUAACCGCCGUUAGGAAUAUUCCAUUAAAACCUUAACAGACGUUAACGGCGUUACCUUUUUUCAUUAGAAUAUUCCGUCAGACUUGACGGAAUAUGCUCCUUCGUCUUCCUCAGCUCGUCGGAGUCCGGCGCCGGUGACCUCUACGUUACCGGUUUCUGGAAAAUAAUAAAACCUUCAUUUCUCACUCAAUUUUCCACCAAAUUUCAUGAAACUUGAACCAAAUUGAAGCUUAGGACGAAUAGAACACAACCAUACCUGUUUUGGGACCUAAAAUCCACAGAAAUUUGCAGAAGGACCUUCGAUAAUCUGGUCAAACUUUAAAUGCAUCGAUCUCGACUUCCCGAUGUCUAAAUUAUGUCAUUUUUCUUCUCCGAGCUUCGUGAAGAGGUCCUUAAUCUUCCUAUAAGCUUGAAAUCCUCUAAAAAUCAUGCAUUUACGACUGCAUGAAUAAUACCUCAAAACUGGGAUCUUGGGUUCUUGGGUUUUCUAAGCUUUCCUUUCCUAUAAAUGGUAUGAUUGGACUCAGAAGCCUACAAUGAACUCAAAGGUCAUAUUCUCCUCGUCGAUCCGUGCCUAAAUGGAAUGGUUUGAGAAUUGUUCGUACGCGUGUACUGACGUUGUAGAAAUUUGAGAAAUGGAGGAGAAAAAGUGUACACAGGGAAGGGGAUAGGUGUGUGUGUGGUCCUAGUUGGUUACUAAUCCACAAAACAAAGUAACAAGCCUAAGUCUUUUCCAAGAACUUAGAAUAUAUUAGAAUUAACCAACUUAAGUACAUAAUACACACAACACACUUUAACGUCCAAGGGUAAAUUAGUAACUUCCACGUUUGAGACCAAUUAAUAUUACAACAUUUCGGAAUAGGUUGUGACAAUUUACCCACCUUAAAAAUUUCGUCCUCGAAAUUCAUACACAACAAUACAUCCACUAAUAACCAUAAAACAAUCGUGGAUACGUCUCUCUCAUUCGAUCUUCUGUCUCCCAGGUAGCCUCCUCCACAUAGUGAUUUCUCCAUAAUACUUUCACCAGACGCACUGUCUUAUUUCUCAGAACCUUAUCUUUCCAAUCCAAAAUCGUCACAGGCUCCUCGUCAUAAGUCAAAUCAGGAUUAAUUUCCAAAGAUUGAGGAGGAAUCACAUGUGAAGGAUCUGCAAUAUAAUGACGAAGCAUAGAGACAUGAAAAACAUCGUGCACUUUGGACAACUCUGGAGGCAAUUCAAGUCUAUAAGCAACUUUACCGACUCACUCGAUGAUCAUAUAUGGUCCAACGUACCAAGGACUCAGCUUGCCUUUCUUUCCAAACCGCACAACACCUUUCCAAGGUGAUAACUUCAGAAAUACCUAAUCACCUACAUUAUACAUCCAGUCAGUGGCAUGUCUGUCUGCUAGACUCUUCUGUAGAUCUUGAGCCACUUUCAGGUUAGACUUAAUCACCUGAAUAUUCUGAGUAGUCUCCUCCACUAUCUCAGGACCCACUAAAACUCUUUCACCAAGCUUUAACCAACAUAAAGGUUGUUGGAAAUGUGCCCUAAAACCAAUCAUAUGAUGAUACUUUACGGACAUUUCACAUGUUAAACUAAUCUAGUUUAAUAUCAAGGGCAAAUAUUAUUGUUUUAAGCCGUCUCAUAUAAAUAUUAUAUGCUUAAACGAUAAGUCCAAGGAAUAUGUAAUUAGGAGAAUGUAAUUUAAAGAAGUUAGAUUCAUGAGACCAUUCUCUUUCAUAUACAUAUCCUAAACGUUCCUGAUCAUAGGAUUGCCAAUUGGGCAUUGACAGUCCGUUAAGAUCAAUACGUGCUGUGUCUUUUCUCAGGGAGAGUGACUGGUCCCGAGUCAUUGGUGUGAUUGACACCAAGACAAGCAUGUAGGUGCUCAAUAGAGAAUGAGUCCACUGAACAUGAUCGACGAGGAGUUCUCAUACUCAUGUCACAUGAGAACUCAUGGUUGGGAUAAUGCAAAGUAGUCCUUUGACCUGAGGCAUCAUAGUUGUCUUGUGGUUAAGUCCUUGAUCUUUGACUAUGUCAAAGUCACUCUGUUAAAGGUGUCCACGGCAUAGUUGGAGUUAAGCCACUUAGCCAUGGAGGCAAGUGAAUGCGCAACAAGGGAUCUCUAACCUUCAAACCGUUUGAGGGGGAAUACUCUAUAAUAUGAUUUAAGAAUCUCUGGCCAGAGUAUGAAUGAGAUUUAGGAAGUUGUUCCAAAUCACAUUCAAAGUAAUCAUAUAAGUAAAUGAAUCACAUUGGAUAGUAGACAUGAAUAAACUAUCAAACCAAACAAUGUGGUUAAGAGUAUUGUAUUAGAGAAAGACUGUAUUGCAUUGUAAUCCUAAACUGAAUAGGUUCUCCACCUCUUCUGAUUAGCUUGGGUAACCAUGACAUACUGCUAGGUGUCACUCAUGGUUUGUGGAAGCCCUAAACGUGUAUAAACACUAAAGGGAGAAUUGAAAGUAAGUUUCAAUUCACAAUCGAUUUGAAAAAGUUCUAAUCGCCCACUACCUCGCUAAAAGGAACCUAAUGGAUCGUACACCGUGUAAGGUAGAGAUUGAAGAAACAACGGAGAUUUGUAAGGAUAAUUAAAUGGUUUAAUUAUUUAUGGCAAGGAUUAAUUAAUAUGUUAAUUAAUCAAACGAAUAAAGUUUGUUAAAGACCUCGGGUUAGUUUUGGGCCUCAAGGCCCAAUGGGCUUCGAACGUCAAGCCCAUUAACUUAAGUUGUAUGACAACUUAGUGACUAAAUAUUCACAAAGGCCCAAACAGCCCAAUAACACCCUAUGGCCGGCCAUAUUGAUAAAGGAGUGGGUUUUGGACUUAUUACAAGUUUGCCACUCCAAUGAAGGUAGGUAUAAAUAUGACUUUAUAGCCUUUUCUUCAUUAGGGUUUCUUUUAGAGAAAAUAUGAGAACACAAUGUCUCUCCCUUUCUCUCUAAGAGGUCGGCCACCCUAGAGGAUUUUAGCUAGCAAUCUUACUUCCUCUAGGUCACCCAUCUCUUCUUCAAGUCCUUCCUUGGUGUGGAAAAAUUAGAGGUUCUCAAUUUUGGGAACUUGGGAAAUCCUUUCAACCAUCCUCAUCCAAGAAAUCCAUGGAUCUAAGAAGCAAGGAAUGAAUGCCCUCUCCUUGGGUGAUUAGCCUUUGCUCAUGCAAAAAGGAAUCAACAAAGGUAUAAAAUCUCUUAACUCACUUUGUUCUUAAGUGGAGUCUUGGUUCACCUUUCUACUAGGCUUUGAAUUUCAUGGGUAAUGUUUUGUUUUUGAGUGCAUACAAGCAUGAUUCCGCCUUUAAAUGUUAAUUGCAUGCAAUAGAUGUUGCUCAAAUGAACAUGUUUUUCACAAAAUUUCCUUCAAAGGUGUGAGACAGGAUUUACCAUAAAGAGCCUUGAAAGGUGACAUACCAAUACUAGAAUGAAAACUGUUGUUGUAGGCAAAUUCCUUCAAAUCCAACCGCUUAUGCCAAGCGUCACCAAACUGCAACACCGAAGAUCUCAACAUAUCCUCUAACAUCUGAAUAGUCCUAUCAGACUGCCCAUCUGUUUGAGGAUGAUAUGCCGUACUAUAAAGUAAUCUAGUACCAAGAGCUUCCUAGAACGCUACCCCAAACUUAGAAGUGAAUCUAGGAUCACGAUCCGAGAUAAUACUUAUUGGAACUCCAUGGUACUUCAUGAUCUUCGAUACGAAUAAUUCAGCUAAUUGGCUUAAAGAAUACUUCUCCCUCACAGGAAUAAAAUGUGUUGACUUAGUAAGCCGAUCAACUAUCACCUAAAUACCAUCAUAACCAUUAUGUGUAUGAGGAAGCUUGAUGCGAUGAAAGUUAAGCACUCAAAUUAAACCCUCUUGUUGUCAAAUUGUAGUAUAAAUGCAAGUAGGGAUCGUUCUGAACUGGGGAUUAUGAGGGCUUGCUAAAACCUCUAAACUUACUCAAAAACAUAAAAACAAAGUUAAAAAUAUUUGAAUAGACUCAAGGGACUCAAAACAGAUUCUAAAGACACAAAACUACCUAAAAACACAAACUGGGCAGAUUUGACUCUAACACAAUUUUGGACGAAUUUAGUGUUUUGGCUUGAAUCAAAACACUCAAAAACACAAACAAAACCGAAAUUUAACACUUUGAAACAAGAAAGUAAAAUGGGGAUUUUGGUUUUGAUGAAUUUGAACAAACAAACAAGUUAUAAAACUAGGCAGAUUGUAAGACAAAUUUUAGGAAAACGAUGAUGGAUGGAUUAGUUAGAGGUCCGUUCUUCACACAUGACACACUUGUACAUGAAUCGAUUUCCAAUUGCUUUUCAAUAAACUAUGAUGCUCAAGACUCCAGAUUAACCGUGAUGCACAAAUUAACCCUCAGAUUUUCCUUUACUCAUUGAGUUGGAUGAAUGCAUGCAACAACCCAAAUCAUUCUCUAAAAGUCCCCUAUAUGAAUGCAUCAUAGAGAUACAAUCAGAGAUCAUUACGUUCAAUGAAAAUCAUAAGUGUUGACGAGGCAAUUGUAACUAUGAAUGCAUGAUACGUUUGCCAAGAAUUCAAUUAAUGCGAUUGUGACAAACAACCUUCACUACUCAUGAAUAUAAACUUGUAACGAUUAGGUAAAACUCAUUUAUAUUUUAGCGUCUAAUUCAUGCAUGAAAACUAAGUAUGCAUCCUUAAUAAACAUGCAAGAAUCAGUUAUGAAGAAGAUAGAUAAUUGAAUUGCAAUCACAACUUAUCAAAUCACAAUUGGAAGAAAUCAAUUCAUAUCUCAAGCAUGUUCAUGGCUUCAAACUUCCCCCUAACUAAAUAGGGGUUUAGCUACUCAUUGCAACAAAAUCAGAAAAUAACAAAGUAGACAUUGAAAGCAAGAAUGAAGUACACCUAAAACGCUCCAAAGUUCCAAGCUUGAAACGCCAUGGACCUUCGUUUUCACCACCUUGUUGCAGCACAAGUGUCUAGGAUGUGUAUGGAUAUUUGGAAAGGUUAGGAAUGUAUUUAGGAUUGGUGAAUGUCUCGGCCAAGGGAAGAUGACAAUGUAUGCUUUGUGUUUUGGGAUAUGUUGGAUGAAUGUAUAUGUGAAUGUGGUUGAAUGUAUGGUGAAUGGGGAAUGGCUGGAUGAAUGAUGGAGGUCACGGCAAAGGAAAUGAAAGUGUUUGUGGGAUGUCAAAAUUAUGGAUCAAGAUUGUUCUCCCCUAAGAAUGGGAAUGGUGGAUGCAUUUAUAGGCUAGGGAGAGGACCAAUCCAUUUCCUUUGCAUGCGUGUGAGCUGUCCAUGUUUCCCUCUACAUUUGCACACACAUGCACUCAUCAUUUCAGCCACAAAUCACUACACUUUCUGCCCAUGUCGUGUGUCUUUCUUUCCUUUUGCAUGUAUUUGUUCCAUGUUCUUGUGGCAGAAAUGUUAAGUAAUGAUGAAGGGUUACUGCUGCACAAGUGUGAAGGAUGGUGCUCAAGGCCUCUUUGCAUGUGUGUAUUUCCACUUCUUCAUUCUUCAUUUUCUGAUUUCCUGCUGCCCAUGUGCCUUCAUUCUAUGUUUCCUGCUGCCCAUGUCGUGCCUUUCCAUGUUGUCUCUCCUUUAUUUUUCCAAACUGUCCAUGUAGAGUGUGUAUGCCCUCCAACCUGUGCAGUUUGCAUGUGUGUAGCUAUCCAUGUUUCUCUUUUGCAUGUGCCGUGCCUUCUCUUUCUAGCUGUGCAUUUCCACUUGCUCCAAAGCCAAAUGAGUGCAAUCAUAACCCCAUUUUCUGCUGAGUGUUGAUGACAAAGCAAAACACAAAACAAGUGUCUUUACUUUCUCAUUUUAUUAGCCAAAUCUGCUUAGCCCUUUUCUGAACCUUUCAGUGUUACAAUGCCCAUAACUUCUUCUGAAAAAAUGAUACUAACAAUCCGUAAAUUGCUCCAGAAAAUAGACAUCUGUAGCUUUCCAAGCAUAUAAGGCUCAUUCUCUCAUUCAUUCUGAGUUGUUCGUAACAUGCUUCCAAAGUCAGCUAAUCUGCACAGGCAGUUUUGACGAAUUUGUUACUUAAUAUCUCACUUGUGCUACUUUUCUUUCUUUGCUUGAUAAAUCACACAAAACACAAAAACAUAGUAAAUAGCUCAAAAAUAUAAGGAACUAACUAAGAAAAGACAAGUGAAUUUUAUGUAAAAUAUAUAUAAAUAUGAGCUUAUCAAAGCUUGUACACAAAAUCCAUAGUAAUAUUUUCCCAUUUCCACUAUGGAAUAGGAAGUGGCUGCAUCAACCCAAACGGCUUCUUCCUUUUAGCUUUAACCUGCUCGCAAAUGACACACCUACUUACAUAUUCAACAAUUUCUCUUUUCAUACCUGGCCAAUAACAAAAAUGGUUGAAUGGUAUGAUACAUUUUUGUAUCUCCUAGAUGCAUUGCAUAAGUUGAAAUAUGUGCUUCAUCAAGAAUUGCCUUCUUUAACUCUGCAUUAUUCGGCACAUACAUUAUGUUCUCUUGCAUAAGCGUGCCAUCAGUUUCUCGAAUUCUAAAAUCUUUCUUCUUACCUCAAUUUCUUUCUUGAAUUAAUUCUUGGGUUUCUUCAUCAACCAUAUGAGCCUCGAGUACUCGAUCAAUUAAUAUUGGCCUAACUUGAAAAUUUGCAAGUAAGGCUUCCUAUCGAUCUUCCACUCCUAACUCUACUCCAGUGGACCUCAAAACUGCAAGAAGAGGAACAUGACAAUCAUAGAUGGCAUUAAGUCUAGUUGGAGUCUUCCUACUAAGUGCAUCCGCCACUGCAUUUGCACGACCAGGGUGAUACUCAAUCGUGCAAUCAUAAUCGCUAAGCAACUCAAUCAACCUUCGUUGCCGAAGAUUAAGAUCCCUUUGAGUAAAAAGAUAAUGAAGACUCUUAUGACCCGUGAAGAUAUUACAUUUCUCGCCAUAAAGAUAAUGUCUCCAAAUCUUUAAAGCAAAGAUGAUAGCCGCUAACUCCAGAUCAUGAGUAGGGUAAUUCUUCUCAUGAGGUUUCAACUAUCUUGAAGCAUAAGCAAUCACUCUACCAUGUUGCAUCAAUACACAACCCAGGCCAUUUAAAGAAGCAUCACUGUAGACCUCAAAAUUACCACUAUCAUCUGAGAGUGCCAAAAUAUGUGCAUGAGUGAUAAUACUUCAACUGCUAAAAACUUUGCUCACAAUUAUCAUCCUACUCAAACUUAACAUACUUCCUGGUCAAUCUCGUCAAUGGUAAGGCAAUAACUAAAAAAUCCUUAACAAACCGUCUAUAAUAGCCUGCUAGGCCAAGAAAACUCCGUGAUGGUUCGAGGUUGCUCCCAAUUCUCCGCAGCUACCACUUUUUGAGAAUCCACUCGAAUACCUUGAGCUGAUAUAACAUGUCCCAAAAAUGUCACUUGAUCUAACUAGAAUUGGCAUUUGCUAAACUUAGCAUAAAACUGGUGUUCCCUCAAACUUUUUAACACCAAUUUAAGAUGUCUAGCAUGCUCUGCUCUAGACUUAGAGUAUACCAGAAUAUCAUCAAUGAAAACAAUGACAAACCUGUCCAAAUAUGGCUAGAAAGUCAGUUCAUUAGAUCCAUGAAAGCUGCUGGUGCAUUAGUUAACCCAAAUGGCAUCAUAAGAAACUCAUAAUGACCAUAUCGAGUCUUGAAAGAUGUUUUAGGGACAUCUUCACUUUUAAUCUUCAAUUGGUAGUAACCAGACCUUAAGUCAAUCUUAGAGAACAUACAGGCACCUCGGAGUUGAUCAAACAAAUCAUCUAUACGUGGUAACGGAUAACGGUUCUUAAUUGUUACCCGGUUCAAUUACCUGUAAUAAAUGCAUAGCCUCAAAGUUCCGUCUUUCUUCCUCACAAAUAGAACUGGAGCUCCCCAGGGUGAAGUACUAGGCAGAAUAAAACCUUUAUCCACUAAUUCCUGCAACUGAACUUUCAAUUCCCUCAUAUUAUGCAUCAUACUAAUUCAUAUACUGAAUAUAAAUUUAUAUGCAUGACAUUUCAAAGCAUACUUUUAUUUAAACGCAUUUUCUAGGAAAAUAUCAAGUAUAUAAAUAUAUACUGAAAACCAAAAGCUCACUCACUGAUAUGUCGAAGGGUCGUAGCCUCUGAGCAGCCCCUGAUUGUGCUUGUCCUCAGGAUAGGUCUCACCUAUAUGCGAAAUAACUGAAUAAACAUUAUUUAAAGCACAUAGACAAAACUAGUUAAUUACAUCUCAUACAUUGCUCAAAUGGGAUGUUUGAAUAUACCAACGUGAUCUACAUAACCUCACGAACAUCCCCAUAUUUUUAGAAAAAAAUUUUGACGUCCCACGCGCCGACAAGUGCACGAAAACACGCGCGGCCACACGCAGAGAAUCCUAACGGAAUCCCUAACCGCCGUUAGGAAUAUUCCAUUAAAACCUUAACAGACGUUAACGACAUUACCUUUUGCCAUUAGAAUAUUCUGUUAGACUUGACGGAAUAUGCUCAUUCGUCUUCCUCAGCUCGUCGAAGUCCGACGCCGGUGACCUCUGCGUUGCCGGUUUCUGGAAAAUAAUAAAACCUUCAUUUCUCACUCAAUUUUCCACCAAAUUUCAUGAAACUUGAACCAAAUUGAAGCUUAUGAUGAAUAGAACGCAACCAUACCUGUUUUGGGACAAAAAAUCCACGGAAAUUUGCUAGAGGACCUUUGAUAAUUCGGUCAAACUUCAAAUGCAUCGAUCUCGACUUCCCGACGUCCAAAUUAUGUCAUUUUUCUUCUCCAAGCUUCGUGGAUAGGUCCCUAAGCUUCCUAUAAGCUUGAAAUCCUCUAAAAAUCAUGCAUUUACAACUGCAUGAACAGUACCUCAAAACUGGGAUCUUGGGUUCUCGGGUUUUCUAAGCUUUCCUUUCCUAUAAAUGGUACAAAUGGACUUAGAGCCUAAAAUGAACUCAAAGGUCAUAUUUUCCUCGUCAAUCUGUGCCUAAAUGGAAUGGUUCGAGAAUUGUCCGUACGCUUGUACGGAUGUUGCUGAAAAUCAAAAAAAGGAGGAGAGAGAGUGUACACAGGGAAAGGGAUAGGUGCAUAAAAAUCUCAGAAGAGGACAUUGCUCACCACCACAAGGUUUCCUCACUUUAUAAGGCUUUGUCCUUUAUAGAAAGUGAUUGGAGUGAUGGACCUUGGAGAGUAAAAUUGGGCUCACCCUUGGGGUUGGGCUUUGGGGUGUAAUAAUUAAUUGAUAAUUAAUUAAUAUUUAAUAUAUAUAUAUAUAUAUAUAAUUAAUAUAUAUUAAUUAAUUAUCAAAAGAUGUGAGAGAUUAAAAUGGAAUUAAGUGCAGUACAAUGGUUGUUAUGUCAAAAUGUAAAAGGACAUGGCUGGACAAGAUGAGUUAUGAAUCAACAAAAAGUGGGUUAUCAAAUUUAUACAUAUAUACGGGUUACAAAUCCUAUCUUACAAAGCGUAAUUAAUCUUUGUCAACCCAAAGCCCAUCCCAUCUAACCCACCAAAUGAACCCUUGUGGCCUGUAGAAAUUCACUUUUGCAGUCUCCUAAAAUCUUGGGUUACAUUGGGUUCUGCAUUUGAAUACUCCUCUUCAAAAUUGCUUGUAUAGAAGAAAAUAAGAGUUUAUUAGGUAACGUCUUGCAAAACUGUUGUUCAUUUUAUUGAUACAAAACAAUUGUAAAAUGUUUUUAGUAUGUUGUUUUAAAAGAAUAAAGAAUGAAAAACACAAUAUACAAUAUUUAGCCUAGUUUGGGUGCAACAUUUUAUUGGUAUUUCAUGUGUUUUUCAAGAAUGACUUCCAAAUAAAGUAGAAAACACAUGUAUAAGAUAAGGUCAUGGUUUAAAGAAGAAGUAAAGAAAAAAAAUAUUCAUAGUGGGUUUUUGCUAAUCAGACUAGGAUUUGAUGAGGCAUCUGUUGGAAAUUUUGAGUAUAAUUUCAUUAUCCCACAUUGCUUACCGCCACAAGGUUUCCUCACUUUAUAAGGCUUUGUCCUUUAUAGAAAGUGAUUGGAGUGAUGGACCUUAGAGAGUAAAAUUGGGCUCACCCUUGGGGUUGGGCUUUGGGGUGUAAUAAUUAAUUAAUAUUUACUCUGAGAGCAUAUCUGAGAAACAGAUGGAGCAGUACACCCUUUACGUUGAACAGUCGCCUCCCAAAAACAUGUUUGUUGCGAACAGACAUAUGAUUACUAUAUAUAUAUAUAUGCAUCUGCAUAUCAUUCAAAUCACUUAAAAUCAUCAAUCAUCAUAUACCAAGUAUAUUGAGAGUACCACAAACCAAUUCGCCAGAAGUCUAGUUUUCCAGUAGUGGAAUUCUAACUUAGAUCGUUGAAUCCUGGUGAAGCAGACGUCCAUAGAACUACAAGCACUGAGUAGGGACGAAAUUUCUAUUUCAAGGAAAUUGCGGUACGCAAGCCUCGAUCUUCAAGUUGUUUGUUUUAUAAUUGUGUUUUGUUCAUACUCUGUUAAUUGUUAUAUCUGCAUUUAUUGUUUAUUAGCAUAUAUAAUUAAAUCACAGAUUGUUGACUUAUAUCCAACAUCAUCUACUUCUUCUUGUAGAAUGUUGUUCAUAAUGGUUGGCUAGGUAGGACUAGGGAUGGGCAUCAGUUAUGGAGGGUGGGUAACCGCGGUUAUUUACGCAUAAAUGUUUAAGCUUUUACCUGCAUAAUCAUUUACCCGUUGGGUAUUUACAUAAACGGGUAUACCCAUAUCCAUAACCGUUUAUAAACGGUUAACCAUACCCAUAACUGCAUAACCAUUUACCCAUAACCGCAUACCCAUUUAAUCAUAACUGCGUACCCAUUUACCCAUUUUUAACCCGUUUACUCUUCUUCUUUUUUUCACCCGUCUACCUAUUUUUUUAACAACUUGAAAAUUAAAAAGAAAUUUGUCAUAAUUUUCUUUUUCUAACAAUCAAAUACCAUUAUAAAUAGAUUUAACAUGAAUUUUUGUAUUAAGGACAAUAUUAUUUAUGAAUAUAUGCGAUGUAUCCCAAUUAUUUGACGGUCAAUCUAUUAUAAGAAUCAUGCAUGGUUGUAGGUUAAUUAAUAUUCUUGUAUACAUACAUACAUACAUACAUACAUACAUACAUACAUUAUGUAUGUAUGUAUGUCAUUACACAUCAGUCUGCUAACAAGCUAAUUUGAUAAAUAUUUGAUUUUUAUUUAGAAACAUAUGUUCAUCAAUCCAAGCCAUUUAAUUGAUUUCUAAUUUUUGGGUCAAAUACUUAUUGAAAACUUGAGGCCAAUUAAAUAUAUAUACAUAUAUAUAUAGGUAUGCAUCAGCCAACAAUAACAUGUUUCUACAAGUUCAAAGUAAUCAUUAUCUUGAAUUAGCCAAAGCUCCAAAAGACUCCAAAACAAAAUUGUCGAACACUCUAAUGCUUUAGCACAUUCAAUCACAUAUAUUAAACAUUGACCCGUUCUAUCAACUAUAUUUUUCUCUCAAGUGAGGCAUAUAUUUAUAUAUAUAUAUAUAUAUACACACACACAAAGAGCUUAAGGGGAGGGAUCCCCAUUUUUUGAAAAAAAUGGGGAUUAGGUGUGGGGCCCACUUCACAUCUAAUUUCAACGAUCCGAACCGUCUAUUUUGUUAGUCUCGAUUCAUAGAUCAUCCUUGCAAAAUAUUAGCUAAAUUGGAAAUGUUUAAGACAUCUAAUUGGGUUCAAGGAAAUGAACGAAUACUUUGUUAUAUAAGAAAAUAUGAAAUUUGAUAUUGAUAAUUAAAUAGGCAAAUGGUUUCGGAUUGAAUUGAAUUUUUGCAAGGAUGAUCUAUGAAUCGAGACUAACAAAAUAGACGGUUCGGAUCGUUGAAAUUUGAUGUGAAGUGGGCCCCACACCUAAUCCCCAUUUUUUUCAAAAAAUGGGGAUCCCUCCCCUUAAGCUCUCUGUGUGUGUAUAUAUAUAUAGGGGUGUGAUAUCCACACACCCCAUUUUACUUCUCACACACCCUUUUAAUUUUCGACCGUCGGAUCAGAUGAAUUGAAGAAGAUCAACGGACAGAAAUUAACAAGGGGUGUGUGAGAAGUAAUUUGGGGUGUGUGGAUAGCACACCCCUAUAUAUAUAUAUAUAUAUAUAUAUAUAUAUUAUGGCCCUUUAUAACCAAAUAUGUUUCGGAAUACUAAACUUAGCUAGAAACUAAUUUUUUUUUCUUUUAGUUUUACAUAUAUUAAAAUAAAUGGUUAAAUGGAUACCCGUUUAUAACCACGAGUAAUACCCAUAACCGCCCAUUUAAAUUUCACGGGUAAACGGUUAUAUUCAUAACUAUUUAUUUAUCUAAACAAUUACCCGUAACUGUAACCAUCAAAUUUAAAUGGGUAGAUAACCACGGUUACCCAUAACCAAUGGGAAUGUGCCCAUCCCUAGGACUCACCUUACAUUUAGGGCAUGUUUGGUAGGCAGACAAGUUAUCUAACCUAUUUUUUAUACAUGGAUUAUAAGUUAUGUCUUAUAAACUGUAAUCAAUCUAUGCCAAUUCAAACAUACUUCCAAAGUCCAAUUUCAUCCAACCCACCAAAUGAGACCCUUAGGAUCUAUUUGGUGGCUUAAUUGGGAUAAGUUGUGAUUAAUUAAAAUGGACUUGAGUGCAGUAUAGUUGUGUCAAAAUGUGGAAGAACAUGACUGGACAAGAUGAGUUUGGUUUCAAUAGGUUUAAUGAUGAUGAUAAAAUUUGUCAAAUCCGAACUAAAAUUUCAGUUCGGUUUAAUUUUUUUUGGUUUUUCUUCGGUUUGUUUAUUUUCGGUUCGGUUUCGGCUUGGUUCGGUUUUUUAUUUUUUAUUUUUCAUAAAAAUUUAAAAAAUAUAUAUAUAUUUUUUAAUUUGAAAAUUCACAAGAAAGGUGCGGGUGUUCAUUGAGAUGGUGGCUGUGAUGAUGAUGAUCCACCAAGGAAACAUGCAUAUACAAUCUUUCAGCAAAAUGAGGUAUUCUAAAAUCCCCCUGGUUUAGUUCUGAGCUCUCAAUCCCUCUUCUUCUCUGUCUCUGCCAGUCUCUGGUAGCCCGUUGGAUUGGAUUGGAUUUGUGCUAAACACCACAACCACCAAGUUGGUCCGGGAAUUUCUAUAUACGUCUUGAAAUUUUCAACAUAUUUGGGACUAAAACUAUAUUAAUGAUUGAUUUGAAAUUGGGUUUAAAAAAUUAAUAUCCAACGUAAAUAAAAAUAAUUGUAUUUAAUUUGGUUUGGUUUGGUUUUUGAACUACUAAAACCAAAACCAAACCAAAAUAUUUUUGGUUUGAUUCAAUUUUUUUGGUUUUGGUUCGGUGCUCAGUUCGAUUUUUUGGUUUUCAGUUUUUUGAACUCACCCCUACAAUAGAGUGGGUUAUCUAAUCUAUCCAUAUACACGGGUUACAAAUUCUAUCUUGCAAAGCGUAACCAAUCUCUACUAAUUCACUCCUAUCUCUAAGACUCAAUCACAUCCAACCCAAAGAAGCCUUUAGAGACUCUAGUGUUGUAAGAAUUCACUUUGCAGUCUUUUAAAUCUUGGGUUACAUUGGAUUGUGCAUCUGAAAACUCCUCUUCAAAAUUACUUGAAUAGAAGAAAACGAGAGUUUGUUUGGUAACGAUCAUUUUAUGGAUACAAAACAAUUGUAAAGGUAUGUUCUUUUAAAAGAAUAAAUAAUGAAAAAACAAAAUACAAUAUUUAACCUAGCUUGGGAACAAUAGCAUAUUGGUAUUUCGUUUGUUUUUUAAGGAUGGAUUAUGAUUCCACAAUAGAGUAAGUUAUCUAAAUCUUUUUAUAUGUUUACAAGUCAUGUCUUACAAAGCGUAAUCAAUCCUUACCAACCCAAUCCUUAAGGCCCAUUGCAUUCAACCCAACAAACGAGCCGUAUGGCUCUUGUGUUGUAGAAAUUCACUUUUGGUGUCUUUUAGAGCAAGUCCACCCCUAAGGACUUUGUGCCAGCACCCAGCCCAUUUAUCCACUCCAGUGAAAAAUAAUAAACUCCAAUGAACAAUAAUAGGCCAAUGAAAAGGAAAAACACUUCGCAAAAUGUCAAGAAGUGUGUAGGAAGGAUGUCGAGUGUUGUUUUGGUAUCCUGCAAGCUCGUUGGGCAAUUGUCAGGGCUGCAACUAGAAUGUUUGAUGUCGAGGCUCUUUGAUCCAUCAUGGUGACGUGUAUUAUUCUCCACAACAUGAUUGUUGAAGAUGAGUAUGAUUAUAAUGUCGUCGAUGAAUACGAGCCGGAUCCAAUCAACAACUCAUGAACACAUAUCUAUUGUGCUCAUGACAAUACCAAAGAUCCCGUGCAACACGACCCGUUGGAACGGGAUGGACAUUACAAUGAAUUGAUCGUUCAGCGGUACACGAACUUGCAAGAGCCAUAUUGGCACGUAACCCGCCAAAAUGACUUGAUUGAGCACCAGUGGGGAUUGCAAGAAGGUGAAUAUAAUUAAAAUGAGGCUUGUGGUUGAAGAAUAAAGUGUAUUUUUUUUUUAAGUUUAUGUAAUUCUAUGUAGUGUGUUUUGUUUUUAAGUUUAUUUGGUGAGUUUAUGUAAUCUUAUUUCAUGUGUUUAAAUAAAGUACAAAAAUAAAUAAAUAAUUACAUUAAAAUUGCAUAAUAAAUUAAAUAAAAAUAAAUAAAGUUCUAAAAAUAACAUAAGAAAUAACAUAAGAAAUUAAAUAAAGUUCAAAAGAAAAAAAGAAAAAACAUAAAAAUUACAUAAGAAAUUAAAUAAAAUUCUAAAAAAAUAAGAAAUUACAUAAAAAUUAUACAAAGUCUCUGGAGCUAGGAUAUGUGGUGCUAGGAUCUUGGUUGCUAUGAUUUGUAGCUAGAACCCCCUUGACUUGUUUCCACAUCUCUUGCACGCCUCAUUUGCACGACAUCUCUUUUUUAUGAUGUCCAAAAAUAUUUUGAAUUCGAAGAUAGUCCUACUAGAGACUUGCUUAUAGUGUCACGAUCUGCUUGAGCCAUUAUUUCUUCUCUAAGCAUUUCAUUUUCUCGAUGAAGUGCUUGUCUAACCAACUCGUUCUCUCGAUUAACUAUUUCUCUUUGUCUCUCAGCAGCCGCAUCACGGGCCUUAGUAGCUGUUAUUAUUGCUGCCAUAGCAGCAACUUUUUCCUCAUCUCUUGCCUUUUCUCGUGCCAUGUUCAGUUCACCUUGGCGAGCAAGUUCCUCCAUAUAUUUAGUGUAGUCAUUUUUGGAAGAACUACCUUUUUUCUUUGAUGCCUUUUUACCUUGAGGCCUGAGGGAUUGACGAGUCGGUUGGGUCUCGGGCACUUGUUCAGGCAUCCCUUCUGUGUCUUGAAAUGUGUCGACUUCUUGUUCGGCCGUGUCUGGUUCUGUCGAACUAUGUAGACCCAUGCCGUGCAUGACAACUUCUGGAGCAGUUGCCACAAUUUUGUAUUUAGGGCAAUCUUUGACAAUUUCCCAACAUUCCCAUUUUUUGAAUGAUUUGUUCUGGUUCUUUGAAUUGUAGAAUGCUUGAGCUUGUAGUGUCUAUAAAAAUGUGGGAUAAGAUAGUGUUAAAAAAUGCGGGUGUAACACAAAUUAAUAAAUUAAAAUAUUGAUGUGGAUGGAAUGCAUAUAAAUUACAUAAUGACAUAAGAAAUUAAAUAAAAAUUACAUAAGAAAUUAAAUAAAUUAAAAUUUUGAUGCGGGUGGAAUGCAUAUAAAAAUUACAUAAGAAAUAACAUAAAAAUUACAUACGAAAUUAAAUAAAUUAAAAUAUUGAUGUGGGUGGAAUGCAUAUAAAUAAAUAAAAAUAUUGUCACUUGAUCCGCUAAACUUGUCCCACUACGCAGGUUACCGGAAGCAUGAGAGAUGGCGUUUUUCCAACAAGUAAAUGAUGCGUUGAGUUUUUUCCAACGACCUUGAAGACCUUGACUAGUUCUGGCGUCAUUUCCAUGUACAUCGCAAAACGCUUUCGUAAUUUUACUCCAUAUUUCUCGCUUAUCCAUCUCAUUACCCGUAAUCGAGUCAUGAGUAGUGUGAACCCAACAUUCACACAACGUAACAUCUUCAAUGAGCUUCCACGAAGACAUUUUUCUCUCUUAAAGUGUAGAAAAUAUUGAAAUGUGGUGUAAGGUGGAAGAUGAGGGUUAGGUAUUUAUAGAAAAGAAAAAAUAACUUUUUUAAUAUUUUACUGUAUUUUAAAAAAAAUUGUAUUUUUUUUAUAAUUUUAAUUAAUUUUAAUGUAGUUAAUUAAUCUGGACCGUUGGAUUUGAAAAAUAUUCAAAUCCAAGAGCCAAGGAUCUAACGUGGCCAACGGUCAUAAAUCUGACCUGUUGAUGCACAAAACCGGAGGUCUUGGAACAACGUAAAUCCAACCGUGAAUCUGCAAGUAAUGUAAAUAAUACAAGAUGUAUCGUGGUUCACCCCAAGGUUUGGGCUACGUCCACACUGAUUAUGUAUUUAUCUGAGAGGUGAGGGGAGUGAGGGAGCUCUGUAAUGUGAGAGCUUUGGGAGGAUGAAUGAGCCUUAAGAAAUGGCUCCCCCUAAUUGUGAGGGUGAGGGGUCCUUUUAUAGAAUAAGGACUUCUCACUUAUUACAUAUUUGCCCAUUCCUUUAUCACAUAAUUACAUUUAAGUCCCCCGAGUAUUUGUACGAGAUCUAAAUACGAGACCCUAAAUAUGGUAUAAACAGUAGUCCCCCAAGUCUUCAGUCAAGAGAAUCUUUUGGCUAGAGACUUGAAAUUCAGUCCAUGUGUGGGCCGAAGUAACCAGAUGUUGUCUUGAACUGAUGCUCGAUAUGAGGCGGUGCUCAAUCUGAAAUGAUGCUCAACUAGAAGUAGCAUAUGCUUUGAGGCUGCUCGGCUUGUGGCAUAUGUUGCCUUGGUUGGCUCGGCUUGUGGCGUUGAAGGUGAGGGAGUCCUUUUUAUAGAAUAAUGGUUCGCUCCUCAAUACAUAAGUGAUGGGCUAAGAGUUGAUGUUCGCGGCGAGGUGGUUGCUCAGUUGGCGGCGAUGCUCUUCUAAUGAUGGUAAGGGAGUCCCUUUUAUAAAAUAAGGGCUCGCUCCUCAGUACAUAAAUGAUGAGUUAGGAGUGAUGUUCGCGGCGAGGCGGUUGCUCAACUGGCGGCUAUGCCCUCUAACAAAGGUAAGGGAGUCCAUUUUAUAAAAUAAGGGCUCGUUCCUCAAUACAUAAGUGAUGGGCUAAGUCCCCUAAAUAUUUUUCAUGAGUGCUCUCUAAUGAAAGUGAGGGAGUCCCCCGAGUAUUUUUCAUGAGGCCCAGUUGAGGCCCAAUAUAUGGUACAUAAUGUAGUCCCCCAAGUCUUCGAUCAAUAGAGUCUGUUGGCUGGAGACUUCAAAUUGAAUCCAUGUAUGGGCCGAAGUGGUGGUUGUUCGGAGGUGGUAUUUGUAUACCCUGCACUGAAGCUUUGUAAGUGACAUUUUGCAAGUGAAGCUUUGAAGCUGGAGCUCUGUAAAUGAAGCUUUUGUAAAUGGAGCUUUUGAAGCUAGAUCUCUGUAAAUGAAGCUUUUGAAGCUGAUUGACUUGAGUGAUGCUCAUGAAUGUUUAUGUUGAUUGACAUGAGUAAUGCUCAUGGAUGUUGACAUGAGUGAUGCUCAUGGAUGUUUAUGUAUGAUUGGAUGAGUGAUGCACAUUAAUGUUUAUGUAUGAUUGAUAUGAGUAAUGCUCAUGAAUGUUUAUGUAUGAUUGACAUGAGUAAUGCUCAUGUAUGAUUUGAAGUACUGGGCGUACUUUUGAUCACCUGGUUGGUAGCAUGAAGGAGAGUACGGGUUGUACAUUUCAUCACCUGGUUGGUGGCAUGAAUGACUAGUUGCCAAAUGAUAUUAGAGUAUGGGUUGUACAUUUCAUCACCUGGUUGGUGGCAUGAAUGGCUAGUUGCCAAAUGAUAUUAGAGUACGAGUUGUACAUUUCAUCACCUGGUUGGUAGUAAUAGCGGCAGGUUGCCGAAUAAUUUUUGGAGUACUGGGCAUACUUUUGGUCACCUGGUUGGUGAUAAUAACGGUUGGUUGCUGAAUAAUUUUGGAAGUACUGGGCGUACUUUUGAUCACCUGGUUGAUGAUAAUAGCGGCGGGUUGCCGAAUAAUUUUAGAAGUACUGGGCGUACUUUUGAUUACUUGGUUAGUGAUAAUAGAAGGUCUGGCUCUUUUGGGCAUAUGGGCCUUCGCCCUCCACAUAACAUUCCAGCCCAUUACUUUGGGCUUUGCCUUUUUUUUAUUUUAUUUUAUUUUUAUUAUUACCUUCUGAUAGGGUUUAUACAGAUAUUUUCGAAAGAUACGAAAAAUAAAUUACAUCAUACAAAAACAAGAAAAGUAAACUACAUCAUUCUGGUGGGGUGUUUAUUCCUUGCUUUUGCCUGUGUUUUUUUUUUUUUUUGCUGCACUCUCUCUGUCUAUUCAUCUGGCAAACAGAAGGAAUCAUAAUAAUACGAAGAUUUUUUUUUCUUCUUUUCUCUAUAUUGCGUCUCUGUCUUUUGCUUUUGUGCCGCAGCUCACUUGAUUGUUUUUCUUUCUGCUUUCUUCUUUUUCUUUUCUUUCUCUUUUCCAUUUCCUGCAUGUACCACCCACUUGCUUUCUUUUGCUUUUCUCUAAAGUGAAAAAUGCUUGACAAUUGAUAUUUCAGUGGUAAUAAUUGCAGCCAAAGUGAUAGCUGCAUCCCCUUCUCCACAUGUUUCCUGCUCCUCUCGCCGCUGAUCUGCAGAACCCUCCAUCAUCCAUCUCCAUUUUCACCUCCUCCUUUUUGAUCAUGUGCCAUGACCAUCUCCGUCAAAUGGAGAAUAGAAAACUUAUGUGCCAUGACCAUCUCCGUUAAAUAGAGAAGCGUAGUCCAGAGAAGCCAAAGAGAUAUAGGGGACGUUGGCGACGGCGGAGCUAAUGGCGUCGAGCUCGUCACGUGAGCUGCAGCAGACCACCAUAGGCAACCCCGGACGUCGACCUGCCAUGCCCAAUAAGUCCAUUAAAGUCUCUAUUUUGAACUGGUGUCUGUCGACAGCAAGGUAGAAGUGGCGCUGCGGGUUGAAAUGGGAAGAAGGGGAGUAAAACAGAGGAGACGGGGUUUCCAAAAGCUGCAUCCAUCACCAUGGUCGAGGAGUUGGAGAAUCUGCCGAAGGACUUGGCGACGGUGAUCUAGGCUACGUCCAAGGAUAUAAGAUUGAAGAACAGAUUCUGAUGCAUAAAAUCAAGCUUCGUCGAUCCGACCCGAGAGGUCGUCGAUUUGACCCGAGAAAAAAGGUAGGCCAUGGUGGACAGAUUCUGAUGAUGCGGUCCAAGUUGAUUCUGAACUCCAGGAUUGGUGGACAGAGCUUCGCAAUGUAGGCCAUGGUGACAAGAAGAAUGAACCAUGGUGGCUUGGUUAACCACCCAACUGUAAGCCGACGCUUCAUGCCUGACGUAGACACGGUGGAGGAGGUCCCCAACAGCCUCAUCAACGCCCUCUCCAAGUCCUUACCUCUGGGGUCUUCGUCCAGCUCGUACACAGUGGGGUUGAUGCCCAUGCCGCAGAAGAGGGGCUUGGCGGCAUGGCACAUGCAGUAGCUGCUUAUACUGAAACUACUGUUGGAAAUGUGCCCUAAAACCAAUCAUAUGAUGAUACUUUACGGACAUUUCACGAAGUUAAACUAAUGUAGUUUAAAUAUAAAGGGCAAAGAUUAUUGUUUGAGCCGUCUCAUAUAAAUGUUAUAUGCUUAAACGAUAAGUCCAAGGAAUAUGUGAUUGGGAGAAUGCAAUCUAAAAAAGUUAGAUUCAUGAGACCAUUCUUUCGUAAACACAUCCUAAACGUUUCUGAUCAUAGGAUUGCCAAUUGGGCAUUGACAGUCCGUUAAGAUCAGUACGUGAUGUGUCUUCUCUCAGGGAGAGUAACUAGUCUCGAGUCAUUGGUGUGUGUGACAUCAAGACAAGUACGUAGGUGCUCAAUAGAGAAUGAGUUCACUGAACACGAUCAAUGAAGAGUUCUCAUAUUCAUGUCACAUGAGAACUCAUGGUUGGAAUAAUGUAAAGUAGUUCUUUGACCUGAGGCAUCAUAGCUGUCUUGUGGUUAAGUCCUUGAUCUUUGAUUAUGUCAAAGUCACUCCAUCAGGAGGGUGUCCACGGCAUAGUUGGGGUUAAGCCACUUAGCUAUGGAGGCAAGUGAAUGCGCAACAAGGGAUCUCUAACCUUCAAACCGUUUGAGGGAGAAUACUCUAUGAUAUGAUUAAGAAUCUCUGAUCAGAGUAUGAAUGAGAUUUAGGAAGUCGUUCCAAAUCACAUUCAAGGUAAUCAUAUAAGCACACGAAUCACAUUCGAUAGUAGACAUGAAUAAACUAUCAAACCAAACAAUGUGGUCAAGAGUAUUGUAUUAGAGAAAGACCGUAUUGCAUUUGUAAUCCUAAACUGAAUAGGUUCUCCACCUCUUUUGAUUAGCUUGGGUAACCAUGAUAUGCUGCUAGGUGUCACUCAUGGUUUGUGGAAGCCCUAAACGUGUAUAAUCACUAAAGGGAGAAUUGAAAGUAAGUUUUAAUUCACAAUCGAUUUGAAAGAGUUCUAAUCGCCCACUGCCUCGCUAAAAGGAACCUAAUGGAUCGUACACCGUGUAAGGUAAAGAUUGAAGAAACAACGGAGAUGAGUAAGAAUAAUUAAAUGGUUUAAUUAUUUAUGGCAAGGAUUAAUUAAUAUGUUAAUUAAUCAAACGAAUAAGUUCGUUAAAGACCUCGGGAUAGUUUUGGACCUUAAGGCCCAAUGGGCUUCGAACGUCAAGUCCAUUGACUUAAGUUGUAUGACAACUUAAUGAAUAAUGAUUCACAAAGGCCCAAAUAGUCCAAUGAAUCCCUAUGGCCGGCCAUUUAGAGAUGGAGUGGGUUUUGGACUUAUUUACAAGUUUGCCACUCCAAUGAAUUAAGGUAUAAAUAUGACUUUAUAGCCAAAAUUCAUUUAGGGUUUCUUUUGGAGAAAGGAUGAGAACACAAAGCUCUCUUUUCUCUCUAAAGAGGCCGGCCACCCUAGAGGAAAUUAACUAGCAAUCUUGCUUCCUCUAGGUCACUCAUUUCUUCAUCAAUCCAUCCUUGGUGUGGAGACUUAGAGGUUCUCAAUUUUGGGAACUUGGAGAAACCUAUUUCAUCCAUCCAAAUCCAUAGAUCUAAGAUGCAAGGAAUGAAGGCCCUCUCUUUGGGUGAUUAGCCUUUGCUUAUGCAAAGAGGAAUCUACAAAGAUAUAAUUUGUCAACUCACUUUGAUUUGAGUUGAGUCUUGGUUCACCAAUCUACUAGGCUUUCAAUUUCAUGGUUAAUGUUUUGUUUUUAAGCGCAUGCAAGCAUGAUUCCGCCUUUUAAUUGUUAAUAGCAUGCUAUACAUGUUGCUUAAAUGAACAUGUUUUUACAAAUAUUUCCUUCAACUACCGCUUCUUCUUGCAGGGCUGCCAAACCUAAGACUUCGUCACUCUCAUUCCUCCCAACUUCUGAACGCCAUGUGGGAUUGAGCUGCCGAGGAGUUUCGAGUAGCAGGUUGAGCAUUUUGACUGAGCUGCCGAGGAGUUUCGAGUAGUAGGUUGAGCAUUUUGGCAGAACGACCCAAAUCGUUGCAGUAGCACAACGCGCCACAUGUUGAAGAUCCCACGACCCAGCUGUCUCUCUGAGCUGUUUUUUUUUUACUGGUUUUCUCGGCUACCAAACAUUGACUAGAAAUAGAGUUUGAUUUGUUGUUUUUUGGGUUCUUUUUCUCUAGGAAAGCUUGAGUUGUUGGGUUUUUGCAGAUUUUGCAGAUUCACGGUGGAGGUGAAAAAAUGAAAGAGAACCGACAUAGUUUUUUGUGUUGUUUCCCACAGACGGCGCCAAAUGUUGAUGCACAAAACCGGAGGUCUUGGAACAACGUAAAUCCGACCGUGAAUCUGCAUGAAAUGUAAAUAACACAAGAUGUAUCAUGGUUCACCCCAAUGUUUGGGCUACGUCCACACUGAUUAUGUAUUUAUCUAAGGGAGAGAGAGCUCUGAGAGUGAGAGCUUUGAGAGGGGGUGAGAGGGCCUAGGAAUUGGCCUCCCCUAUUGUAAGGGUGAGGGGUCAUUUUAUAGAAUAAGGACUCCUCACUUAUUACAUAUUUGCCCCUUCCUUUAUCACAUAAUUAUAUUUAAGUCUCCCUAGUAUUUGUACGAGAUCCAAAGAGGAUUAAAGGAUUGAUGGGUCCUCCCUCAUAAAGCCUUUCCUUCUCACUCCCCUCUCAUUUCUCUCUUAACAAACUCUGAAACUAGGAUGGUGCUGAUGACGUGAAAGCUUUGCUGGGAAUUUGGGAAGCGUGGAAUAUGGAAACUAAUCUUAUCCCAAGUUAAAGUUCCCAAAACCCAAUAAUAUGACCGAUUCGAACUUUUUAACUUCUGGCGCUUUUCGUUUGCUCAAAGGGCCUCGUAUUUAGAUCUCAUACAAAUAUUCGGGGGACUUAAAUGUAAUUAUGUGAUAAAGGAAUAGGCAAAUAUGUAAUAAGUGAUGAGUCCUUAUUCUAUAAAAUGACCCCUCACAUUCACAAUAGAGGAGGCCAAUUCCUAGGCCCUCUCACCCCCUAUCAAAGCUCUCACUCUCAAAGCUCUCUCUCCCUUAGAUAAAUACAUAAUUAGUGUGGACGUAGCCCAAACCUUGGGGUGAACCACAAUACAUCUUGUGUUAUUUACAUUUCAUGCAGAUUCACGGUCGGAUUUACAUUGUUCCAAGACCUCCGGUUUUGUGCAUCAACAUGACCGUUGGGCCCUUUUUGGGGGGGGGGGGAACAUGGACCGUUGAUAUGUGAUCGGACGGUUCAAUUUAAAAGUAAAAUUUAAAUUUUUUUAACUGUUGGAAAUCUAACGGUCUAGAAAAACUAGCCGUUGGAAAUCCAACGGCUCUGAGCAUGCCACGUCGUUGGCUGCAUCUAAGGCACAAGUGGGUUGACAACGCCUGCCCCCUUGUCCCCUACUUGCGGCCACGCGUGAGUGCUGUGCAUGCACCAGCCAAAUAGGUCGGCUCUUAGGUCUGUAAAAAAUGGGCUGGUCUGUUGCCUAGCUUGGGCUAGGUGCCAUGCAACUUUGUAGGCUGGACUAAAUGGACUGACCCUCAGCUUGAUAUUUAGACUAGGUGCUGGGCAAUGUUGGCUCCGGUGGACUUGCUCUUAAGAUCUUGGGUUACAUUGGUUUUUGCAUUUGAAUACUCCUCUUCGAAAUUGCUUAUAUAAAAGAAAAUUAGAGUUUGUUUGGAGUCUUGAAAAACUGUUGUUCAUUUUAUGGAACCAAAACCAUUGUAAAAUCCUUUUGGUAUGUUGUUUUAAAAGAAUAAAUAAUGAAAAACAGAAAAUAUAAUAUUUAGCCUAGCUUGGGUACAACAUCAUAUUGGUUUUUUGUGUCUUUCAAGAAUGACUUCCAAAUAAAGUAGAAAACACAUGUAUAAGAUAAAAAUCAAAGUUUAAGGCAAGCCUGAUGGAGAAGCCAAACAAUAAUCGUCUGGCCCAGCUGACACACCCUGACCCGAAUCAGGGCAUGCUGGCCGUCACGUGAGGGUGAUGUAGCCAUGUGCACAGUGCGGAAGCAAUAAUGAUAAUAGAGAAUAUGAAUAAUUAAAAACUAAUUCAUAAGAGUACUAGCUAAGGUAAGUGCUAGAAAAUGUGUGAAUACACAAUCAGAGCAUAAGUAGCCUAAGUUUAGUCCAGAAAACAAGCACUAAUUAAACGACACCUAAAGAAGCCCUACAUUUGUGAUAGUUUGUCAGAACCUCCAGUCAAUCCUCGUGAGCCACCAACGAACAAGCUUAUCUAAAACCUGGAGGGGCGCAAAACAGAAAGUGUGAGUGGGCAAAAACAAAGCUUUUCAAAACCAUUUCAUUAUCAAAUACUCUAACCCCUCGCCGUAAAACAUGUAUAAUUUUCCCAGAAAUGGAAUAUAAAUAUAUAAGUAUAUAUACACAUAUAUUUCAAUUCAUGCUUCACAUACCCAUUUUCAUAAGUAUGCCAUGCCAAAAUAUGAAACAGAAUAAGUAACUCAGGUGAUAAUAAAUUCAUGGAAAAAUAACAUAUUAGCCGGAACCCUUGCAGAAGUCUAUACGGCUGAAUUAAUAGCCCAUUAGUCAAUCUAGCCAGAGUUACUGCAAGUGACCUAUACGGCACUACAUUACACACGAGUCGGAACCACUGUAAAGGUUUGUACGACAAGACUGGGUGUAAUAUAAUUAUGCUCAAUGCUACGCUCUCAUGAUAGCUGUGCGAUAAAUUGCUAGUCACCUACGAGUCGGAACCACCUAUGAUGGUCUGUACGACAAGACUGUGCACCUAAAUUGGAUCCAAUGUGAGCAUAUGGUGCGGGAUGUGACAUUAUAUACAGGCCUGUGCUAUAUCUCUGACUAAAUCACUAACACCGGGGUGCAGGUUUAUGAGUUCGAUGUUUCUCAAUUAAUCACAACCGUUAUUCAUAUUCACAAUUCAUAAACUCACCUGGGGCUUACCUGAGCGUCCACAUCACCACAAUUAUAUAUAUAUAUAUAUAUAUGCAAACAUCAUAUGCAUAUUCUAAAUGUAAAACAUUUGGCAUGGCAAUUUAAGUCAUAACUCAUUUAAAUGCAUUUUUUGGGAAAGAUACCAAGCAUAUACAUAUAUAUUUAAAACUAAAAGCUCACUCACUGGUAUGUCGAAGGGUUGUAACCCCCGAGUCGGCCUUGACUGUGCUCGGCCUCGGGAUAAGUCUCCCCUAUAUGCGAAACAACUAUAAAAACGUUAAUUUAAAGCACAUAACCAAUACUGGUUAAUAAUUUCUCAUACAUUGCUCAAAUGAGGUGUUUAAAUAUAUCAACGUGAUCUACACAACCUCAGGAACAGGCCCAAAUUUUUAAAAUAAUUUUUGGAGCCCUCACGCACCGGCAAGGGCAUGGCCCUACUCGCCCCCACGCGCGGGCAAACCUUAACUGAGGCCUAACAGCCGUUAGGAAUAUUCUGUUAAAUUUAAGGAAUAUUCCAUCACCGUUAGUUGCCAUUAGGAAUAUUCCGUCAUCACCUACAUUUGAACUCCGGUGACCAUCGCCGUCGUCGAAAAUUGAAAAAUCUAAAAAUUCUUUUAACUUCUUCAUUUUGCACCAAAAUUCAUGAAACUUAAACCAAAUUGAAGCUUACAAUGAGUAGAACACAUUCUUACCAAUUUCAAGCUCUAAAAAUCACGGGAUCUCACUAGAGAAGGCACGAUAAUUCCAGCCAACUUUCAAACUCGACUUCCCGACGUCCAAUUUGCUUGGUUUUUCUUCUCCGAGCUUCGUGAGAAUGUCCUAAAGCUUCCUAUGAGCUUAAAAUCCCCUAAACAUCCAUAAUUACGACUGCAUGAACAAUACUCAAAUAUGGGGUGAUGGUUUCUCGGGGUUUUGAGGGUUUCACGAUCUAAAAAUGGCAUACAUGAACUCAGAGACUUGCAAGGAGUUCGAAUCUUACCUUCUUAACGUCGAUCCGUGCGUGAAAUGUGAGUUUGGUGUUCGUCCGUACGUUUUGUACGGAAAUGGUAGGAAGGCCGAGAUAAUGAGAGAGAGAGAGAGAGAGAGAGUGCAUGGGGUUGUUUUUGUGUGUGUGUGUGUCUUCACUUGAUCAUCAACCAAAACAAACAAAAGUUUAACUUUUAAUUGAGUCCAAAACUUAGGAUUUUAACAUAUUGGUCUACAUCCCAAAAACAUGUCACACACAUCACAAUCUCAAUGUUCAAGGAUAAAAUCGUCAUUUCAUACCGUCGAAACUAAAUAUUUCAGGAUUGGCUAUAACACUAACGACCUGUCUAUGUGAUGCAUGGUUGACAUCAUCAUGACGUCAACCACAAUUUAAAUUACUAAAAACUAAUUAAAAAAUAAAAAUUAUAUAUUUUUCUAUAAAUACCUAACCAUGUUAUUUUAGUUUACACUACAUUUUAGGAAUGAGUUCGGUUUUGAAAACGGUUCGCUUUUUUGUAAAAAUUGAACCGAACCAAAAUUUCAGUUCAGUUCAAAUUUUUUUUGGUUUUUUUUGGUUCGAUUUUUUUCGGUUCCGGUUAUUUUCGGUUCGAUAUUUUUCCCUUUUUUUUAUAUAUAUUAAAUUUGGAGCAUGAAGCAAGCAUGCUUCCUGCCUUGAACAGAAAUCAACCUGCAACUCUGCAACAUGGUUUGGAAGAACAGCGAGAGAAUCCAAGUAUAAAAUAAAAUAAAAGAAAAAAAAUAAAAUAAAGAGAAUUAACAGAGGCGGAUGAGCAUGAGUCGAAAUCGUAAGAGAUCCAUCUCGACAUGAUUCACACGCCGUAAAAAUAUUAUUAUUAUUAUUUAAGUUUUCAGUUUGGACCCUACCCUGAAAUCCUCCGCAUAUAAACCCAGCUGUUCGCCAUUUUUUCUUCCUCUGUUUACUCAGUUCGGUCAGGCUCGCCGCCAAUGGUGACGGAAGACAAUAGCGAGAGUUGCGGGAGUAGAGCGCUGGGAGAGAUCGGAAGGAGCGGAGGGAAAUUCAUGGUUUGGAAGAAGGAAUCUGCGACCGCGAGGAUAGGAGAAGACGGGAGAGUGUGAUUUGGAGGAAGAGAGGAAGGAAAGAGAGAGACUGAGGAAGCAGAGAGGAUGAAAGCAGCGGAUUGGAGAGAGAGCGAGAGAGAUUUUGAGAAAAGCAAGAGAAAACUAAAAUGGGAGUGACGGCUAGGGUUAGUAGACUUUAAAAAUUUAUAAAGCAUUAAAGAUUAGAAUACCUAUAAAUAUAUUACUCGAGCAACUGAAGGCCCACAAUCGGGUUGGCUUGAAGCAAUAUUCCCAACCUGGAGGAAAGGGGUUCGAAUCCUCAUGCCAUUGGGAAUUUACAUAUGAUUUUCAUAAAUCAAAUCGGUUCGGUUUGGUUUGGUUUUCAGAUCUUAAAAAUCGAAAUAUAGAACCAACAAAAUUUGGUUCGGUUCGGUUUGAUAGUUGCGGUUUCAUUUUUUUAGGUCUUGGUUCGGGUUUCAAUCCGAUUUUUUUCGAUUUUCGGUUUUUCCAACCCAUCCCUACUACAUUUCAAUAUUUUCAAACAUUUUUAACCAAUUUUUAAUUAUUAUCUAAAAAUAAAAAUAUAAGUUGUUUUUUCAUUAUUUUAUAAAAUAAAAUAAUAUACUAAUAUUUUAAUACGAAUUAUUUGACUAUUCACUUUAUGAGUGGAAAUGCACUUCGACAUUUACCAUUCAUUAUGGACCGUUACUGUUUAUUUAAAGAAAUUGAGUUGCCUAUUGAUGUGGAUGAGGCCUUAUUACACUGGAAGUUAGAUUUAUCUUUAUUUACUAGAUUUGAAAGAUGAAGGAACUUACUGCUGGUUUGGAAGCGAGACUUGUGGUUAAAGGAGGUUGGAAUGCCUAGUCUUCUGUGUAAUCGUGACUUGCUAUUAGUUAUCUUUUUUUUUUUUUUUUUUUUUAAGGGGGGGGUGGGGGGAAGGAUGAAGGAACAGGUCAUCGCGUGCUCCACUCCAGAGAGUAGUGAAUUACUUCGCUGUGUCGGCGGAUAACUCAACAGGUAAUUCCAUUUCCACCAGGAGUUGAGGACCAAAGUCAUCAAAUUUCUGCUCGAAUAGAAUGCCACUGAUUUGUCACCACCUUUCCUCUUCUUCCUCUUCUUCCUAAUUAUAUAUAAUCUCCUCCUAAAUUCUCUCCCACUCACUCUCUCUCUCUCUAGCUUCCGCAGAUUCUCUCACUACUCUCUAGCACUCACUACCACUGUGGGGGAUGCAGAGCGAGAGAGAAGUUCAAAUACAAUAAACCCACUUGAGAACUCUCUCACACAGCUUUCUCACCAAUUUUCAGGUAACCAAUUUGAUCUGUGCUUGCACUUGCUUUUUCUGGGGGUCUCUGGAAAAACAGUGCAUCUGUUUUUGGCUUAAAAGUUUUCAGAUUUAAAUUUCGUUGUUUGUUCUUCUUGCAUUCAUAUCCAAAGUUGUUUUCUUUUUUUUGGGUAAGAUCCAAAGUUUUGUUUGAGGUGAAAAGGAUUCAAAAUUUAAAGAUCCAAAGGGUGAGCUCCAUUUGAGGAAAUAGGUUUAAUGAUGAUGAUAAAAUUUGUUAACUGAUGGAAAUUUAAUCCUAUGACAUACUUAGAAGCAGCAAUGUCUUUAAGUUUAAAUUAACUGGUGGAACAUGAUAUGGGUUUGAUCCCACUUAUUCGUCACUCCAUUUAAUCCUAUUGUGAUUGCAAAAUGCAAACUCACACUCUUUUCAGCAAAUCUAGUUACUGCUGAUUUCUGCAAGUCCUUAACUAGUUAACCAUAACAAUGUAUGCACAGUUGCCUUUAGAAACGUACCGUAUUUGGGAAUCCAUCCCCGUUCUCAUGUCUCAAACUUUGUACAGUGGUGCCAUCUGGAUUUCUUUUACUAUCAUCCAGGAUGUUUUAUGUUAAUUAAGUACUUCUUGGUUCGUAUGUGAAGAUACACACACACACAUAUAUAUGUAUAUACUUGGAAUUUGUAUUUUCAAGAUUGGCUAAAUGUAGAAUGAGCAACAAGUUAUCGUUGUGUAGGUUAUUUAUACCAGAAGCCUUUCGAAUUGAAAGCCUGAUGCAUAUUGACUACAACUUUAGCUAGAGAAAAUUAACAGUACUUACUUUGGAACAAAUAGUCGAGUUAUUCUUUUUAAAUUUUAAUAGGCAUGCGUAUUAUAUUCUUCGAUAAAUAGCUGUCUACUUAAUACUGUUCAUGAAUUUGCCCUUCAUUACAUUUUGGUAGGGCUUGGCUUCAUCUUGUCAACCAUUGAUCAUUUACUUCAAAUACCUGCCUCUCAAUUUUCUAUUAAUUGUGCAGGUUUGAGGGAGUUAUUGCAAGAAUAUCAUGGGCCCCAAGCAUAAUUCUUCAGGAAACAGAACAAGAAGCACAUUAUCUAUAUUUGUUGUGAUUUCUCUUUGUUGUUUCUUCUACCUUCUUGGAGCAUGGCAAAAGAGCGGUUUUGGAAAAGGUGAUAAGAUAGCAUUUCAAGUUACCAAACAGAAAGAUUGCAAUGUCUUUGCUGAGUUGAACUCUGAUUUGAACUUUGAAACUCAUCACAAUGUCGUGGAGAUAGUUGAACCUUCUGAACCUAAAGCCAAAGAGUUCAAACCUUGUCAUGUGAAAUAUGCUGAUUAUACCCCUUGUCAAGAGCAAGACCGAGCAAUGAAAUUCCCCAGGGAAAAUAUGAUAUACAGGGAAAGACAUUGUCCACCAGAAGAGGAAAAAUUGCAUUGUCUUAUUCCAGCACGGGAAGGGUAUAUGACUCCAUUCCCCUGGCCUAAAGGCCGUGACUAUGUCCACUAUGGAAAUGUACCUUAUAAAAGCCUCACAGUUGAGAAAGCUGUACAGAACUGGGUGCAAUUUCAGGGAAAUGUUUUCAAAUUUCCAGGUGGAGGAACAAUGUUCCCCCAAGGCGCAGAUGCAUAUAUUGAUGAACUUGCAUCAGUUAUUCCGAUUGCAGAUGGCUCUGUCAGGACAGCAUUGGAUACCGGUUGUGGAGUAUGCUUGUUUUCUAAACUAUUUAUGUGCUUUUAUUAUUGCAUAUGCAUGUCUACAUUAAUUUCUCCACUCUGCGAUUCUAUCAUUUGCAUUCAGUUUGAGCUUUUUACCUUCCUCCAGUCAAUCCAAGACUGACAAGAGCAUUAGCUUUUCACCCUCCAGAGAAUAUUGAAGAACCUGUCACUUCCGACCAACCUGUCAUUUAAAAAAGCACUAUGCAUAUACUGACUGCAAAUGCACAUUCAAUCAGUGCCUAUAUACUUGUGACUAGAUGAUUUAUGUGCAUGAGCAGUGAUCUAUAAUCGUGUACAUGUUCACAGAGAGUCAGUUCAUUCAUUUGGUUGUGGUUCCGUACUAAUGAGGCCAAGCAUAACCCAGGUUGCAAGUUGGGGUGCAUACUUAUUGAAGAGAAAUGUAUUAGCCAUGUCCUUUGCACCGCGGGACAAUCAUGAAGCCCAAGUGCAGUUUGCAUUGGAGCGAGGAGUACCUGCUGUUAUCGGUGUGCUUGGAUCGAUUCGUCUUCCAUACCCAGCUAGGGCCUUUGAUAUGGCCCAGUGCUCUCGGUGUUUAAUUCCAUGGACUGCAAAUGGUAAGAUCUUGGAGUAACCAACAUUAAGCUUGAGCAAUCACAUUUGAUAUCUUUUGUUUUGUAUUAUAUACUGAUAAAAUAUAGUUGAAAUUACAAACUCUAAAUAAGAUAUAAAAAGUAGAAAAACAUAUCUAAAUUGCUAAACAUUUAUACUUGAUUUCUAUUUGUAUAAGCAAUUACUGAUUUGCAAAGUUAACCAUUUUCCUGAAACUCUUACAUGUCUGGCAGUUAAUUUAGUUACCAACCCUGCUAAUUUCCCUUUCCCAAUUCUCUUGUUUGAUAAUGAAUUCCCCCCAGUUGACUUCUAUAUAAAAGAGGGAUUCUUGUUGGAGUUCCAUCUUCUACUUUGUUUUCCAUGUUUUAACAUGCAAGAAUAGUUUAUUUACUGAAUAUGGUGAAAUUUUAUGAUUCAAAUAUGAAUGCCUUCGUGUAGAUGGAAUGUACCUAAAAGAAGUUGAUAGGGUCCUUAGACCUGGUGGAUACUGGAUAUUGUCUGGACCUCCAAUUAAUUGGAAGACCUACUACAAAACGUGGAAGCGGUCUAAGGAGGACGUGCAGGCAGAGCAAAAACAGAUUGAAGCACUAGCUGAAAGUCUUUGCUGGGAGAAAAAGUAUGAGAAAGGAGAUAUGGCUAUCUGGAAGAAAAAAGUUAAUACAAAAUCCUGCAGGAGAAAGUCUGUCGAUGUAUGCCAGACAGAGGAUACUGAUGAUGUCUGGUGAGUCUCCAGGCACUAUGGUUGCUUGUGAUAUUACUUUGGUAUUUAAUAACCCAUUUUUUUAGCCUUGUUUAGUUGUUUUAAACCUACCCUAAUCAUGUAUAUAGAUAAUCUAUAGUCAUCGAUAUGUAAACCUCCCACUAAAUUUGAGGUUUGGUCGAUCUUUCUGAAGUGGUACAGAAUCAGUUAGGGGAAAGAGCCCCAUGCCUUUGCAGCAGAUGACAGGAUAGCGCAAGAAAAACAUUUUUGAAAAUCUCAAAUUGUAUGAUAUUGGGUAACUUUCGUCCAGCAAUUUGGUUUACUUAUCUAGGAAAAUGCUAAAUAUAACACAAGUUUUACAAGCAGAAGUAGUUGAAUUGGCAUGCUGCAUAUCCCACAUUCCCAAUCCUAUGUACGGGUGCUCUACUGCUACACAUGUUUGCAUUGUUUAGUCUGCUUGUUCAGUAUUAGACUUUUAGCCAAAAUUCAUUGAUAUAAGCGAAAUGAUUGUAUAACUUAACAUUCCAUUCGUUAAAGUGAACAUUUUUCUCUUUUUUACUUUGUUACAGCCAUCCUAAUUGUUACUUUUAUGUGGUCUGUUCCAGGUACAAGAAAAUGGACACAUGUGUAACCCCUUCUCCUGACGUAACCAAUGCAAAUGAAGUAGCUGUAGGGGAGUUGAAGUUUCCUGCAAGGCUUUAUGCAGUCCCUCCUCGAAUAGCUAAUGGUUUAGUUGUGGGGGUUACAACCAAAUCUUACCAAGAGGACAAUAAACUUUGGAAAAAGCAUGUAAAUGUUUACAAAAGAAUCAACAGAUUGAUUGGCACUACAAGAUAUCGGAAUGUGAUGGAUAUGAAUGCAUGCCUUGGAGGAUUUGCAGCAGCCCUUGAAUCACGAAAAUUGUGGGUUAUGAAUGUUGUGCCUACAAUUGCAAAGAAUACUUUAGGUGUUAUUUAUGAGAGAGGUCUAAUCGGCAUAUAUCAUGACUGGUAUGUCCUUGAUAAUCCUCUCUCUCUCUCUCUCUCUCUCUCUCUCUCUCUCUCUCUCUCUCUCUCUCUCUCUCUCUCUCUCUCUCACACACACACACACACACCCACACACACUAACACAAACACAAGCACAUCAGUGUUUACCGAAGUGUAUGAGUGUCCUUCAGGACUCGGUAACCUUUAUGCUUUUCCUAUGAAGAUUUUCAGUUUUUUCGUCGAUUAUAAUUUACAGUGCUGAGACCUAGGUAGCAAAUACAUAUUUUCUAGUUACUAGUCCAUGUCAUGACCAGAAAAAGAAACUUGUUUCAGGUGUGAAGGCUUUUCUACGUACCCAAGGUCAUAUGACCUUAUUCAUGCUAGCGGUGUGUUCAGCUUGUACAAGAACGAGUAAGCCUCAUCAUCUUCUUCCUGUGUAUCUGUGUGCCUAUAUCAUACUUAGUGUUUGCACCAUUAGAUUAUUUUAUGAGAUAGCAAUAAAAUCAUGAGAUGCAAUAUCUUGUCGUUAAGAUUUCUAAAACCUUCAUAUUUUAGACCUCAUUUGUACAAAUGUGUAUAGUUUGGUAAACAUCAAGAUGGAACAAUCUUUGAUUCACUAAAUCCAAGAACUCUUUUAAGUAAUUUUCUCAAGGACUGUUUGAACAAUGGUGGAUUUUUAGUGAUAAAGUGAAAAUAUACUAAGCUAAGCAAUUACGGGCUUCCUUAAUGACAUAAAGUUUUUUCAUGCAUAAAUCUAAUCUAAUAGUAAUAACAAAAGUAAUGUAGUUUACCAAUUUUCUAAACUUACAGUAAUACAGUCACUCUUUUCUGUUUUAUUCUAAAUUGAGAUAAUUGGUCUUGAACUUCAGUCCCUGAAUUGAAAAUCCGUAAGUAGUGGUCCUUGUGUCACGGGAUGACUCUUUAAGCCUUCCGCCCGUGCGGCACUUAGACUUGAAUACCUCGAUGAACAAGCUAAGUAAGCCUUCGAAGCCUCGCUUCCCCGGAUCGAAUCACAAAGAAAGCUAAGAUAGCUUGGAGAAUGCUAAAAUCACUUAGAAGAUGGGAGAAAGGAAGCUUUGUAUUGAAAGUUAAGAGAACUUUACAAUUGCUUACAAUUCUUGGAUGGUUUGGCCAAAUGGCCUUACCUCCUAUUUAUAGGCCUAAGUCACCUCCUCAAUGGAGGGUUCUAGAAUCUCCUACUUACAUCCAAAAAUAUCUAGCAUAGUUCUAGAUACAACUUGCCUAAUCUAGAUUAUUCUAGGUGAGGCUUAAAUAUGUACACUUGUGUGGAAUGUUCCGGAAUGCCCUAGAUUAUCUUGAAUGCUCCGCCACGUUCUUGAUUUCUCCGGGACGUUCCAGAAGCUUCCAUGAAGACAUGGCUUCAUGGGCUUAGAUAUAUGAUGUCUUGGGCAUUUUCUUUGUUUUUAACAUGCGGCCCGUGACACUUGGAACUUGUCACAUAGUGGUUCAAUGGUGCUUUUCCGGUAACUCCUCCUUAAGAACUUCUGUCCCUUAUUUUCCAUUUACAACCUUUUUUCUAAAGGAAAACUAACGAAAAGUCCAAAAAAACUUCUCUUUUAACAAAAAGCCCUUUUUAAAGGUAUAGUGAAUAGUGACAGGUAAAGGUAAAAAUGUGGUUUUUCGUUAAAAGUGAACAGUACCGGGAGUGUUUUAUUAAAACUCUUUUUUUCUAACUCUACUAAUUAAUAAAAUACUCAUUGUCAACCAAAAUCAUAUGAAAUUAUUAGUUUAACCCUCUAAUUAAAACAAAACAUUAAUAAGAAAUAUGGGGUAGAAAUGUAAUUUUACGCAAUCAAAUUUUGCUGUUUUUUUUUUCAAAGUCUCACCCACAUAUAAUAUUAACAUAUCUCUAAUUACAACAACAACAACAAAUUCUUUACCCACUAAGUGGGGUCGGCUAUAUGAAUCCUAGAACGCCAUUGCGCUCGGUUUUGUGUCAUGUCCUCCGUUAGAUCCAAGUACUCUAAGCCUUUUCUUAGAAUCUCUUCCAAAAUUUUCCUAGGUCUUCCUCUACCCCUUCGGCCCUGAACCUGUCCCGUAGUCACAUCUUCGAACCGGAGCGUCAGUCGGCCUUCUUUGCACAUGUCCAAAUCACCGGAACCGAUUUUCUCUCAUCUUUCCUUCAAUUUCGGCUACUCCUACUUUACCUCGGAUAUCCUCAUUCUCAAUCUUAUCCUUUCUCGUGUGCCCACACAUCCCACGAAGCAUCCUCAUCUCUGCUACACCCAUUUUGUGUACGUGUUGAUGUUUCACCGCCCAACAUUCUGUGCCAUACAACAUCGCUGGCCUUAUUGCCGUCUUAUAAAAUUUUCCCCUGAGCUUCAGUGGCCUACGACGGUCACACAACAAUGCUGGAUGCACUCUUACACUUCAUCCAUCCAGCUCGUAUUAUAUGGUUGAGAUCUCCAUCUAAUUCUCCGUUCUCUUGUAAGAUAGAUCCUAGGUAGCGAAAACGGUCGCUUUUUGUGAUCUUCGCUAAAUUGCUCCGGUCAUUAGUGUGGAUAAGUAUAUAAAUGGAUAGAGAUAGGAAAGCAAACACAAGAUGUACGUGGUUCACCCAGAUUGGCUACGUCCACGGAAUAGAAGAGUUCUCAUUAAUUGUGAAGGGUUUACACAAGUACAUAGGUUCAAGCUCUCCUUUAGUGAGUACAAGUGAAUGAUUUAGUACAAAUGACAUUAGAGUACAAAUGACAUUAGGAAAUAUUAUGGGAGAAUGAUCUCGUAAUCACGAAACUUCUAAGUAUCGGAGUGUGGUAUCAUCUUGACUUGCCUUAUCUGUCUCAUAGGUAGAUGUGGCAGCUUCUCUGGAAGUACUCUUCCUCCAUCCAGGGGUGGUAUCUUUAACUGGUGGAGAUGCACAAGGUAAUGUAUCAAUUUCACUUGAAGCUUACUUGUAGUUUCAGGCUUGGUCAAGCGCGAUACAAACCAUGUAGUAGGAGUCCCCCAAGUCGCCGAGCUAGGGGAUUUGCUGAAAGAGGUGACAUACAAGGUAAGCAAUCAGAGCUCCGGCUGAUUGUUCACCUUCUCCCCAUCUUGCAGCAGCAUGAAGGAUAAAGAGAAGAAAAAUGAGAAGAGAUGAUAUGGGAUACUUUUGCUUUUGAAGAAGUAACUUUCCACAGGCUUAUUCUUGAACUGAGCUGGAGGGUUUUCUGGUUUCCUCCAGAGUAUAAGGCCGACUGAAGAAUUUGAGGGUCAAAACAAGUCCAUCAAAUCUAGAGUACGUUCGACCCUGCUGAUAUGGGAUACUUUUGCUUUUGACAGAGUAAUGGAUGGAUCGGCACGUGUGCUGUUAUGCUUGUCUCUACAUGCUUCCUUGUAUCCUUCGCACUUGCCCUAUCUGUUCCUCAAGCAGAUGCGGUAUCUUCCCUGGCAACAUAAGAUGUUGAAGAUGAGUACUCGAGAGUAAUGCCAGGUAAGUAAUCAGGUAAGGGGUUCCAGGCUGUCAGUUCCUGGCUGGGAGCUUGAUUUCAAGUGCUGACUGAUUGCUCUCUUUCUCCUUGUCUUGCAGGUAAAAACAAGGCCAAAGGAAAAGACAGGGAAAAAGCAUGAUAUGGGAUACUCUUGCUUUUAACCCUGAUGAUAUGAGAUAUUCUUGCUCUAGUAUAGCUUGUUUGCAAAGGUAUUAUCGGGGGGAAAGAAAGCUGAAUAUUUUGAAAGGCUUCGUUGGGAGUGCCCUCUCAGAUAUGAGGAAGGGUUGAGCAUUUUUUGCAGGUCUGCCUGUCCGUUGGGGAUGGAGGUCGACAUAUAUAGGAGUCUCCCUAACAACAAGUAGUAAUGCUAUUCCUUUACCCUGCUUGGUCAUAGCAUGGUAGUGGGAGCUGCCAGCUUCACAUGUUUUAACUCUGUCAGAGCACUUUGAAAAAGUGGUAUGUGGUAUCUGGCUCUCGAGAUUCGGAGAACGAUGCUUCUUCGAUUUUUGAGAAAGCAAUCAUGGUGGGGGUCUGGCUCUCGAGAUUCGGGGAGCAGUGUCUCUUCGAUUUUUGAGAAAGUAAUCAUGUUGGGAGUCUGGCUCUCGAGAUUCGGAAGGCGGUGCCUCUUCGAUUUUGGAGUAAGCAAUCUUGUUGGGAGUGUUUUCUCGGAUGUGAGUAAAGGUUGGGCAUGUUUGCUAGUCUACCUUGCCACGAAGCACGGAGGUUGACACACAGGGACUUUCCAAUUAUCCAGCAGUGGUACUGUUCCUUUACCCUUGUGGGUAAUAAUAUGGUAGCUAGACCUUCAAAAUUUAUGUGUCUAAACUUUGUUAGUGCUGUUUCUUUGCUAUUCUUUUACCUUUCUUGGUCAGAGCGAUGUAGUGGGAGUUGCAAGCUUCACGUGCUCAACUUUGGCAGAGACUUUGACAAAGUUAUCUGUGGUACCCAUGAGCUAUUGUUGCGUGUGGGAAGUGGGUGAUUGAACAGUAAGAUUCAUGUGCUUUCUACUUCACCAGAAGUCUUUGACAGAAUGCCCAUAAUUUCCGCAAAGCUAAGUGUGCGUGUGACAGGUGCUGACAAGGCUAGAAAAGAAGGUGCCUCUUCGAUUUCUGAGAUCGGCCCUCGUGGUCUCUGAGCAGCCCAACUUUUGAGAAAGCGAGCGCCUCUUCGAUUGAUUCGGAGAACGAUGCCUCUUCGAUUUUUGAGAAAGCAAUCAUGCUGGGGGUCUGGCUCUCGAGAUUCGGGGAGCAGUGUCUCUUCGAUUUUUGAGAAAGUAAUCAUGUUGGGAGUCUGGCUCUCGAGAUUCGGAGGGCGGUGCCUCUUCGAUUUUUGGAGCAAGCAAUCUUGUUGGGAGUGUUUUUUCUCGAAUGUGAGUAAAGGUUGGGCAUGUUUGCUAAUCUACCUUGCCACGAAGCACAGAGGUUGACACACAGGGACUUUCCAAUUAUCCAGCAAUGGUACUGUUCCUUUACCCUCUCUUCGAUUUUUGAGAAAGUAGUCAUGUUGGGAGUCUGGCUCUCGAGAUUCGGAGGACGGUGCCUCUUCGAUUUUGGAGCAAGCAAUCUUAUUGGGAGUGUUUUUCUCGAAUGUGAGUAAAGGUUGGGCAUGUUUGCUAGUCUACCUUGCCACGAGGCACAGAGGUUGACAUACAGGGACUUUCCAAUUAUCCAACAGUGGUACUGUUCCUUUACCCUUGUGGGUAAUAAUAUGGUAGCUAGACCUUCAAAAUUUAUGGGUCUAAACUUUGUUAGUGCUGUUUCUUUGCUAUUCUUUUACCCUUCUUGGUCAGAACGAUGUAGUGGGAGCUGCAAGCUUCACGUGCUCAACUUUGGCAGAGAACUUUGGCAAAGUUAUCUGUGGUACCCAUGAGCUAUUGCUGCGUGUGGGAAGUGGGUGAUUGGACAGUAAGAUUCAUGUGUUUUCUACUUCCCCAGAAGUCUUCGACAGAAUACCCAUAAUUUCCGCAAAGCUGAGUGUGCGUGUGACAGGUGCUGACAAGGCUGGGAAAGUAGGUGCCUCUUCGAUUUCUGAGAUCGGCCCUCGUGGUCUCUGAGGAGCCUAGCUUUUGAGGAAGCGAGCGCCUCUUCGAUUUCUGAGAUCGGCUUUCGUGGUCUUUGAGCAGCCAAACUUUUGAGAAAGCAAACACCUCUUCGAUUUAUGAGAUCAACCCUCGUGGUCUCUAAGCAGCCCAGCUUUUGAGAAAGCAAACGCCUCUUCGAUUUCUGAGCAGGCGCCUCUUCGAUGUCUGAAGCUCCGUCGAGUGCAGCUUUUUAUAGGGGCUGGCAUUAAGUUCCAAAGCACACUUGAAUCUCCACCAGUAGAAGCUCCAUUCUUGCACUUCUAAGAUCUUGAUUUGUCCGACCUCUUCUCUCUUCAAUACCUUUGAAAAUGUCUGGCCCCUCCGACCGUCGUUUUGACUUGAACCUUGUUGAAGAGGUAGCCCCGCCUUCUCCAGACAACAUAUGGCGCCCAUCCUUCGUCUCCCCUACUGGUCCUCUUACCGUUGGGGAUUCCGUGAUGAAGAAUGAUAUGACCGCUGCGGUGGUGGCCAAGAACCUUCUCACUCCCAAAGAUAACAGACUACUUUCCAAACGGUCUGAUGAGUUAGCUGUUAAGGAUUCACUGGCUCUCAGUGUUCAGUGUGCAGGUUCUGUGUCUAAUAUGGCCCAACGCCUAUUUGCUCGAACCCGUCAAGUUGAAUCAUUGGCGGCCGAAGUGAUGAGUCUCAAACAGGAGAUUAGAGGGCUCAAGCAUGAGAAUAAACAGUUGCACCGGCUCGCACAUGACUAUGCUACAAACAUGAAGAGGAAGCUUGACCAGAUGAAGGAAACUGAUGGUCAGGUUUUACUUGAUCAUCAGAGAUUUGUGGGUUUGUUCCAAAGGCAUUUAUUGCCUUCGUCUUCUGGGGCUGUACCGCGUAAUGAAGCUCCAAAUGAUCAACAUUUGAUGCCUCCUCCUUCUAGGGUUCUGUCCAGUACUGAGGCUCCGAAUGAUCCCCCUCCGAUGCCUUCUCUUUCUGGGGCUCUACCGACUGCUGAGACUUCUCCUAAGCAACCUUUGUGAAGGCUCCAUCUUGUUUGUUUAUUUUGACUCAUGUAUAUGUACAUAUUUGUAGCUUAUCGGGGAUAUCAAUAAAUAAGUUUUCCUUCAUUUCAACGUAUUGUGUUAAAUACACCAAAGCCUUCUUCGCUAAGUUCUUUGAAUUUUCUUUUGUUGAAGCUUGUAUGUUGAAGCUUUCUGAGUGGAGCAUGUAGGUUGGGAUAGUGUUCCCUUAAUUUUUCGAGUGAGGAAAACUUCUCGGUUGGAGACUUGGAAAAUCCAAGUCACUGAUUGGGAUCGGCUAUAUGAAUCUUAGAACGCCAUUGUGCUCGGUCCUGUGUCAUGUCCUUCGUUAGAUCCAAGUACUCUAAGUCUUUUCUUAGAGUCUCUUCCAAAGUUUUCCUAGGUCUUCCUCUACCCCUUCGGCCCUGAACCUCUGUCCCAUAGUCGCAUCUUCUAAUCGGAGCGUCAGUAGGCCUUCUUUGCACAUGUCCAAACCACCGUAACCGAUUUUCUCUCAUCUUUCCUUCAAUUUCGGCUACUCUUACUUUACCCCGGAUAUCCUCAUUCCUAAUCUUAUCCUUUCUCGUGUGCCCACACAUCCAACGAAGCAUCCUCAUCUCCGCUACACCCAUUUUGUGUACGUGUUGAUGCUUCACCGCCCAACAUUCUGUGCCAUACAGCAUCGCCGGCCUUAUUGCUGUCCUAUAAAAUUUUCCCUUGAGCUUCAGUGGCAUACGACGAUCACACAACACGCCGGAUGCACUCUUCCACUUCAUCCAUCCAGCUUGUAUUCUAUGGUUGAGAUCUCCAUCUAAUUCUCCGUUCUUUUGCAAGAUAGAUCCUAGGUAACGAAAACGGUCGCUCUUUGGUAUUUCUUGAUCUCCGAUCCUCACCCCUAACUCGUUUUGGCCUCCAUCUGCACUGAACUUGCACUCCAUAUAUUCUGUCUUUGAUCGGCUUAGGCGAAGACCUUUAGAUUCCAACACUUCUCUCCAAAGGUUAAGCUUUGCAUUUACCCCUUCCUGAGUUUCAUCUAUCAACACUAUAUCGUCUGCGAAAAGCAUACAUCAAGGAAUAUCAUCUUGAAUAUGUCCUGUUAACUCAUCCAUUACCAACGCAAAAAGGUAAGGACUUAAGGAUGAGCCUUGAUGUAAUCCUACAGUUAUGGGAAAGCUUUCGGUUUGUCCUUCAUGAGUUCUUACGGCAGUCUUUGCUCCUUCAUACAUAUCCUUUAUAGCUUGGAUAUAUGUUACUCGUACUCCUUUCUUCUCUAAGAUCCUCCAAAGAAUGUCUCUUGGGACCCUAUCAUACGCUUUUUUCCAAAUCUAUAAAGACCAUGUGUAAAUCCUUUUUUCCCAUCUCUAUAUCUUUCCAUCAAUCUUCGUAAGAGAUAGAUUGCCUCCAUGGUUGAGCGCCCUGGCAUGAACCCGAAUUGGUUGUCCGAAACCCGUGUCUCUUGCCUCAAUCUAUGCUCAAUGACUCUCUCCCAGAGCUUCAUUGUAUGACUCAUUAACUUAAUACCCCUAUAGUUCAUGCAAUUUUGUACGUCGCCCUUAUUCUUGUAGAUAGGCACCAAAGUGCUCGUUCGCCACUCAUUUGGCAUCUUCUUCGUUUUCAAAAUCCUAUUGAAAAGGUCAGUGAGCCAUGUUAUACCUGUCUCUCCCAAAACUUUCCACACUUCGAUUGGUAUAUCGUCUGGGCCUAUUGCUUUUCUAUGCUUCAUCUUCUUCAAAGCUACAACCACUUCUUCCUUCCGGAUUCGACGAUAAAAGGAGUAGUUUCUACACUCUUCUGAGUUACUCAACUCCCCUAAAGAAGCACUCCUUUCAUGUCCUUCAUUGAAAAGAUUAUGAAAAUAACCUCUCCAUCUGUCUUUAACCGCGUUCUCUGUAGCAAGAACAUUUCCAUCCUCAUCCUUGAUGCAUCUCACUUGGUUUAGGUCCCUUGUCUUCUUUUCCCUUGCUCUAGCUAGUUUAUAGAUAUCCAACUCUCCUUCUUUGGUAUCUAGUCGUUUAUACAUAUCGUCGUAAGCCGCUAACUUAGCUUCUCUGACCGCUUUCUUGGCCUCUUGCUUCGCUUUUCUAUACCUUUCACCAUUUUCAUCGGUCCUCUCCUUGUAUAAGGCUUUACAACAUUCCUUCUUAGCCUUCACCUUUGUUUGUACCUCCUCAUUCCACCACCAAGAUUCCUUUUGGUGUGGGGCAAAGCCCUUGGACUCUCCUAAUACCUCUUUUGCUACUUUUCGGAUACAACUAGCCAUGGAAUCCCACAUUUGGCUAGCUUCCCCCUCUCUAUCCCACACACAUUGGGUGAUUACCUUCUCUUUGAAAAUGGCUUGUUUUUCUUCUUUUAGAUUCCACCAUCUAGUCCUUGGGCACUUCCAAGUCUUGUUCUUUUUUGUCUCCUCUUUUGAUAUGUACAUCCAUCACCAAACAAGCGAUGUUGAUUAGCCACGCUCUCUCCUUGUAUAACUUUGCAAUCCUUACAAGUUAUACGAUCCCCUUUCCUCAUUAGAAGAAAAUCUAUUUGUGUUUUUGACGACCCACUCUUGUAGGUGAUCACAUGUUCUUCUCUCUUCUUAAAGAAGGUGUUGGCUAAGAAGAGAUCAUAUGCCAUUGCAAAAUCCAAGAUAGCUUCCCCAUCCUCGUUUCUCUCUCCAAAACCAUGGCCACCAUGAAAACCUCCAUAGUUGCCUGUCUCCCUGCCCACGUGUCCAUUUAGAUCUCCUCCUAUAAAUAACUUCUCCGUCUGAGCAAUUCCUUGCACCAAGUCUCUAAGGUCUUCCAAAAUUUCUCCUUCGUACUCGUAUCCAACCCUACUUGAGGUGCGUACGCACUAAUCACAUUGAUAAGUUCUUGUCCUAUUACAAUCUUGAUUGCCAUGAUUCUAUCUCCUACCCUCUUGAUAUCUACAACAUCUUGUGUCAAGGUCUUGUCCACGAUGAUGCCAACACCGUUUCUCGUUCUAUUUGUGCCCGAAUACCAAAGUUUAAACCCUGAGUUUUCUAGAUCCUUUGCCUUACUACCAACCUACUUAGUUUCUUGUAGGCACAUAAUAUUUAUCAUUCUCCUCACCAUAACUUCCACUACUUCCAUAGAUUUUCCCGUUAAGGUUCCUAUAUUCCACGUUUCUAAACGCAUUUUGCUCUCUUGAACUCUACCCUUUUGUCCUAACUUCUUCACCCUCCCCCGUCUAAUAGGAUCAAAGUACUUCUUUUGUGUGUCCCGUGUAAAGUUGAUAGGGGCAUAUGCUCCCAAACAAUUUUGACUGGAGUCGUUCGAAAAGAAGUUUCUACGGCCCCCUUGCUCAUUUAACACUGCAUCCGGGUGCCGAUGGAGAUACAGCGACCCUUGCUCACUUAUCACUGUGCUCAGGCCACACAGCGCGCCACUUACGGGUGACGCCCUAGCUUUAGCUCGAUUUUGUUCUGGAUUCAUUUUCAUAAGGAUUCGACGUGAUCAUGGAGUGCCGGCUGUCGACUACCUGACGCCCUCCCCCUCCUCCUUUAUCCGGGCUUGGGACCGGCAAUGUAAAAUUACAUAGGCGGAGUUAACAUAUCUCUAAUUACAAAAAAAAAAAAAAAAAAAAAAAAAAAAAAAAAAAAAAAAA